This 52477-nucleotide long non-coding RNA is filed under the name Nicotiana tabacum (common tobacco). RNAcentral's name for it is "long non-coding RNA (NTAB_LNC014259)". The record is from RNAcentral. Lineage: Eukaryota; Viridiplantae; Streptophyta; Magnoliopsida; Solanales; Solanaceae.
AAAACCAAAGGUUGAAAGGGUGAAUAACUCAGCCAAAGCGGUAGAAGAGUAGAAAAUUAGUGAGUUUUUUGCCACGGAGAACAUUAGCGAGAAGGAUGAUGAUAAGCAAAAUCCAAAUAGUAAAGUUGAAGAAAGCAAGCAUAUGCCAGUGUUACCCUUUCAUCAGAAGAUGAAGCGGGAGAAAUUAGAUAGAUGCUUUGGGAAAUUCUUAGAGAUGCCAAAACAGUUGUAUGUUAACAUCCCGUUCACCGAGUAAAAGGAAAUUUGACAGAUGCCUGCAUAUGACAAAUUUCUGAAGGAAAUUCUUUCGAGUAAAAGGAAGCUAGAGGAAAUGACAGUGGUCAAACUCAAUGCACAUUGUAGUGCCAUCCUAUAGAAUACAAUUCCUUAAAAGUGUGGGGAUCCUGGCAGCUUCACGAUACCCUGCUCGUUGAGGAGUGAAAAUUUUGACAAAGCCUUGUGCGACUCUGGUGCAUCCAUUAACUUGAUGCCAUUGUCAGUUUUCAAGAAAUUUGAAGGAGAAAUAGGAGUGAUAAAAUCUGUGCCAGUGUCAUUGCAACUGACUGAUCAGACCACUAUUAUACGAGAGGGAAUAAUUGAGGAUAUUCUGGUGAGGGUGGACAAAUUUGUCUUCCAUCUAGACUUUAUUGUAGCAGACAUGGAAGUGAAUAAGGAGGUACCCCUAAUUUUGGGGAGACAACUCUUUUGCACUGGCCGAGCUAUUCUUGACAUAUAUGAGGGUCAGCUCAUGCGAAGAGUGGGAAACAAAAAGGUGAUUUUUCAACUUAAGAGAAUGAUGAAAUACCUGUGUGAUAAGGCGUCUGCCUAUGCAUGUUUCAAACUGGAUGUGGUAGGAAAGUUAGCUGAAUAACACAAACCGGACAAGUUGAUAGGUGAUUCAUUAGAAAGAUGCAUUACUCAAUCGAGAAGGAAAUGAUGAGGCAUUGAAGGAUGAAAACCAAGUGGUAGAUGAAGAUGAAUUUGAGAAGGAAAUGACUAAGCCAAAGCUGGAGUUGAAAGUACUUCCAACACAUUAAUAAUAUGCUUUUUUGGAGACUAACAAUUUUCUUGUGAUUGUUUUUGCUGAUUUGACAGGUGAAGAGGAACACAUGCUAGUGGAAUUAUUGCAGAAGCAUAAAAAACAAUCGACUGGAGCAUACCUGAUAUUUAAGGAAUUAGCCCGUAAUCUGCAUACAUAAGAUCUUGUUGGAAGAAGGUAGCAAAUCUGUAGUGCAGCCCCAUCGCAAACUGAAUAAAAAUAUAGAGGAAGUAGUGCAGAAAGAGAUACUCAAACUGCUGGAUGUCGGUAUAAUAUGUCCCAUCUCUGACAUCCCAUGGAUCAGCCCCGUACAGGUUGUGCCCAAAAAAGGGGGCAUAACGGUGGUGAAGAAUGAGGACAAUGAAUUAAUCCCUACUAGAAUUGUCACUGGUUAUAGGACGUGUAUAGACUACCGAAAGCUGAAUGAUGCAAUGAGGAAAGAUCACUUUCCUUUGACUUUCAUUGAUCACAUGCCGGAGAAGGUGGCAUGGCAUAGAUGCUAUUGUUUCUUAGAAGGUUAUUCAGGGUACAAUCAAAUACCUAUUGCUCCUGAAGAUGUUCAGAAAAUUGCAUUUACCUUCCCUUCAGGAAUUUUUGCAUACCGGAGAAUGCCUUUUGGACUUUGCAAUGUGCCAUCUACUUUUCAGAGGUGCAUGAUGUCAAUUUUUUCAGAUUUUAAUGGGAAAUGUAUGGAGGUAUUCAUGGAAGACUUGACUCUCUUUGAGUAUGACUUCAAGGAUUGUUUGAGGAAUUUUGAGCUUGUGCUGAAAUGAUGUGAAGACACUCACCUAGUACUCAACUGGGAAAAGUGUCACUUCAUGGUCAAGGAGGAAAUAGUUUUAGGCCACAAAGUCACAACUGACGACAUCGAAGUCGAUAGAGCUAAAGUAGAUAUGAUUUCUAAGCUCCCGCCACUAACUUUAAUGAAGAGCAUUAGUAGCCUUCUGGGGCAUGCACGAUCUUAUAGAAUGUUCAUCAAGAAUUUCUCCAGUAUCACCAAGCCCUUAACGGCAUUACUUGCCAAGGAUGUGAAGUUUGUGUUUGUUGUAGAGUGCCUCCGAGCAUUCGAGUUGAUCAAGGAAAAGAUAGUGAGUGCCCCCAUAAUGGUAACUCCUGAUUGGAAUGAACCUUUUGAGAUCAUGUGCGACGCCAGUGAUGUGGCAGUGGGGGAAGUGUUGGGGCAGAGAAGAGAUAAAAUAUUCAGACCCAUCUACUAUGUGAGCCAGACUUUGAAUGAUGCCCAGGUAAACUAUGCUACCACAGAGAAGGAGUUCUUUGCAGUGGUCUUUGCUUUUGAUAAGUUCAGAUCUUAUCUACUAGGGAGCAAAGUGAUAGUGCAUACUAACCACUCAACACUGAAAUAUCUGCUGAGCAAGAAAGAGUCAAAACCGCAUCUGAUGUGGUGGGUAUUGUUGCUGCAAGAGUUCGAUCUUGAAAUCAAGGACAUGAAGGGCACAAAAAACCAAGUGGCUGACCACCUGUCAUGAUUGGAUAAACCACUUGUUAAAACUGUGGAUAUUAAGGAAGAGUUCCCAGAUUAGCAGAAUUUUUCUAUUGCAGCGGUCUCUGAAAGACCGCCAUGGUAUGCUGAAAUAGCCAACUUUUUGGCUAGCGGGUGGCUACCGCAUGACUUGUCCUGUGAGCAAUAGAGGAACCUGCAAAGCGAGGUAAAAAGCUACUUCUGGAAUGACACCUUUUUAUUUAAAUUGUAUGUAGAUGGCAUAAUUCGGAGAUGUGUACCAUAAGGGGAAAUGGAAAGCAUACUAUCCCACUGUCGUGAUGGAGCAGCCGAGGGACAUUAUAGAGGAAAUAUGAUAGCAGCAAAAGUCAUGGAAGCCGGUUUCUACUGGUCGGCAUUGUACAAGGACGCAAGAGCUUACGUCGCAAAAUGUGACACGUCCCAACAGACAGGUAACAUUAGUAAGAGGGAUGAGAUGCCCCUGAAUUCCAUUCUAGUAUGUGACGUCUUUGAUGUUUAGGACAUCAAUUUUAUAGAUCCUUUCUCAUCGUCCCAUUCCUAUGAGUAUGUCCUAGUGACUGUUGACUACAUCUCCAAAUGCGUCGAGGCAAUCCCUACUAGGACAAACGAAACUCCGGUGGAAGAACAUAUUCACCCACUUUGGAACACCCCGAGUCAUCAUCGGUGAUAAUGGGUCACAUUUUGUCAAUAAACACUUUGUCAUACUACUGUCUAAAUAUGAGGUGACUCAUAAAACAUGAACCCCAUACCAUGGUCGAACUAGUGGGCAAGUGGAAGUAGCUAACCAUUACUCAAAUGCAUUUUAGAAAAAAGUGUUAGUGCUUCCAGAAAAGAUUGGUCAGUAAAGUUAGAUGAAUCUCUAUGGGCAUAUAGAACAACAUUCAAAAUAACCUUAGGGACUUCACCCUUCAAGCUGGUAUAUAGAAUGUCAUGUCACUUACUUGUCGAGAUAAAUUAUAAGGCUUAUUGGGAAAUUAAAUUGCUUAAUCUUGAUCUUUGUCUUGCAGGUGAACACUAAAUGUCACAGAUGAAUAAGAUAGAGAAAUUCAGAUUUGACACAUAUGAAAAUGCGCUAAUUGUCAAGGAAAAGACGAAGAAAUAGCAUGACCGUCUGAAUAAACCAAAAGAAUUCCGUGAAGGGGAAAAGGUCAUGCUAUACAAUAGACGAGACCGUAUGUGGUGAAACAUGUGUCACCAUAUGGGGCGAUUGAGAUCUAAAACAUUGAAGGAACUAAGAGUUUCAUGGUGAAUGAGCACAUAUUAAAACCGUAUCUUUUUGUAGGAUUUUCUAAGCAGUCCUCGAGCAUCAUAAUCAGUUGAAUGUGCCCGGCUGAGUCAAGCUGACGACUAUAACUCAGAACUACCUCUAACCUUUCUACUAGUUUGAUUUUUUAUCUCUUUAGUUAGGCUAGGCAAAUUAGUGUAUAAUGUGAGUUGGAUGUUGAAGGGAUGUAUAGGUUGUGGAACGGGAGAGUUGAGGUCUUCAACAGUCAUUUUGUGCACAUAUAGGUGCACUACAGCACACCUGGAGGGGUUCACCGCUGAUUUGAACGUGCACAAUUCAGCAUCAGCAUGUCUUGACAUGCGCGGCCACGCAUGAGGAACCCUGAGUGUGCAUCAAGGCACAGACAUCUAACAGUCGCACUGACAGACAUGCACGACAGCACACACACUAACUCGAACGCGCACCCGAUCACGCACCCAGGUAAGUUUUCCAACUCUUUCUUUUGACCUAUUCUUUAACCCACACUUUAAUUUUUUUCUCUUCUUUUCCCCUUUUCUUUCUUAUCUUACCACAUCAACCCUAACCCGAUUCGCUCCUGCUCUCUCUCUCGCCUAAACCCUACUGCUCAUCUCCCUCGCUCCCUCUCUCUCCCUCUUCCUCUACCCUGACCCACCUGGUGUAUCUUCCUCACUUGGAUUUUCAAGUAUGUACAUUAUUUUCUCUUUUUCAUUAUUUUCUCAUUUGCAUUAUUUUCUUUAGAAAAUUGGUGGUUCAAGGAGGGGGUGUCACAAAGGAUGAUGAAAUAUUAGGCUGCUAUGUAUAUGAAUUGGUUGUUAGUGUUGUCAACCUAGGGCCAAAGUUUUGCUUUUGAAGAAUAAUAGCAGUCAUGCAUGUGAAGUGUUUGAUUAAAUGUCACAAUGUGGAUUAGGUGGGUCUUGAGGUCUGUUUUAGCAACUGUUGAUAAAGUUAUCAUUGGGAAGGAACCCGUUGUUAUUGCUGAAGGUGAGAGUAAGGAGCCAGAUGCACCCGUGGAGGGAUGGGAGGUGCAAGGGGAAGAUGUUGGUGCUACUGCCCCACGUGAGCAGGUUGUCGGAGAACCUUAAGGCAGUUUGUGGGAAACAAGGAUGGUUGCUUUGGAACAUCAGAUGGCUGGAAUGCACACAUCUGUUGACAAUUUGGGCACUGAAGUGGAGUCACUUGCUGGGCAAAAUGCAAAGUUCGAGAAAAAAGAUCAUGGCAGGGCUGCGUGCACUCGACCGAGCUUGUCACAUAUAUCCCGGCACCCUCUUCGAUACAGAUUGACCCAGUCAGGGGAGUUUCCUUCAUCUUUCCUUUUUAAUUUUGUGACAUGAGGACAUGCCACUAGUUAAGUGUGGGGGUGGGGGUUAUAAAAAGUUAGUGUUAAUUGCUUUCCAAUUGAAAAAACAAAAAAAAAAGAAAAAGAAACAAAAACCCCAAAAAAUAUUCUUAUCUUUUUAGGAUAACUUCUUAACUUGUACUUCCAUGAGUUUCUUGUUUGGUUCUUUACCAUGGUCAUAAUAUUUUGAACCAAAUACUUUCUAAAGUAGAUUUUUAUUUUUGUAGAUAAGUUUUUGAAAAGUUGCUGGUGGUUAGAAAAAUUGAUUGUGCCUGACUUGUGGAAUGCAUGAUCCUCUCCUUGUAAGUCAGGGAGACAAAUGAUGACCAUGGUCUGAAUUGAGUGCCUAUCAAAAAUACUGUGUGUGGUGCUAUGAAUGCUUGCUUAGUAAUCAUGCCCGACAGGGUCUAAAACUUGGCUUGGUUGUGACUCAAGGAAAAAUCAUAGUGAAUAGUUGAGUUUGGAGAUGAUCGUAGGCCUUCUUUAAUAGCCCUUUUCUGCUGCUUUGAUCCCUCCAAAGAAUUGAAAAAGUUAUCCCUAGUUAGCCCAGUUGAGCCUAUUUCCCUCUUUCUUUGGCAACCACAUUACAAGUUGAACUCAUAGCCGUCCCUAAGCACUUGAAUACCUUGUGCGUGAUUCUAAAAUAUGAAAAGCUUUAAGUGUUGGGGUGGGGGUUGGUUUUUAGUGGAAUCAAUGAGAAGUGGAAAAAGGUGCACCAUCUUGAAUGUGUGUGAGGUACAUGUGUAGGGGAUUGCUGGAAAAAAGAGGAAAAAAAAAGAAAAGAAAAAAGAAAAAAAAGAGAGGUAAUACUCUCAUGUUGUGCAAAGUGAAAAUUCCUCUAUUGUUGAUAAAUCCCUAUUAUGCUGUACUCAAAGAAAUGGGAAAUGGGUGCUAUUUUGAAGGGCAAUUGUCACCGUAAAAGGUGUAGGUCACGUAUGAAAUUGUAGGCGUUAAAGUUAUUAGCAAGGUGUAGAUACUCUUAUCCAAAUUAUAUCCAACCCGUCCCAUAGCCAACUUACAACCAAAUGCAAAGCCCUACAUGAUCUAGACGGAAUUGUUCCUACAUUAGUGGAGAGUCACAUGAUGGCCAAGCUUAUGGUACUCUUAAAGGCAUGAUUCACUUCUUUUGCGAGGGUGAGCGAUUGUUGCUUUAUUUCCAUAUAAGUUUCUCAUAAUUAAUGUGUGAAUGGGCAUGUUCCUUUCUUGUGAGGUGUAUAAAGGAUUUGGCGCCGAUUUGACCACGGCACUAGUGCGAUGUCAUGACCGGGGUUAAGGUUAAAUGUGACUAUAGGAUGGUAUCUAGUUUAUUGUUGCCAGCUGCUUGUCUAAGUGCAUUAGGAGUUAUUUACUUUUAAGAUUGCUCAGGACAAGAAAAAGCUAAUUAUGGGGGUGUUUGAUGAGCUUAAAAUUACUCGACAUUUAGACCCUCUCUAUGUCCUUGAUGUGGUUAAUUUGAUAGGGACUUAGCCUGAAUUAUGGUCUAAUAUGUUGCUUUUUGGUGCAGGUGGUGUAGAGAGGAUCAAUGGACAGACAAUACACGAAGUGGGAGGAAAACAAGCUAAGAGGGGAAGAAAAAGAGAUGCACGGCCGUGCACGAGGAGCCCCAAACGCGCACAUGAGCGUGCAUAUAUCACAAACAACCUGGACAAGAUGCGCGCCCAUGUACCCAGGUGCGUGGCAGCGUACGUCUGCCUCCAGGAAACAUUAGUCAAGCCUAUUUUUGUAAUUUUUGGGCAUUCCCCUUUAACCUAUAUGAAGCCUAAGCUCGUCUUACACUAGGUAUCUUGGAUUUUGGGAGCAAUGUUUGGAGAGAAGAAGGCAAUGAAAUAACAGAAACUUUGAAUACUUCAUCCGAAUUAUUCAAUACAAAAGUUUGUUUGAAUUCGUGGGUUGUAAUAUUUUUUUGUCCUCUUAAUACUCUUAUGAUGAACAAUUUCUCCACUAUGGAGUGGUCUUUCUUACGGUUAUUGACAGAUGUUGUGACUUGAUUAUUAUUUGAGGGUUUGGUUUCUGUUAGUUGCUUGAAUUUGUUGAACAAGUUUCUAAUUGAAUUGCAAGGUUAUUUGUAGUUUUACUUUGAUCGGAAGAGAAGUGUUGCUGCAAUUAUCAUUGUGUUAUCUUGUUUUGGGUUAAUUUCACGAAUCUCAUCGGAAAUCGAAAGAGCUUGUAGAGUUAUCAAUUGACCCAAUUUUGAAGAAUAGUCGAGAGAUGUUCUUCGUAAGAUUAUUCAUUCAACAUGUUCUUGCAUAUGUUCAUAGCACUUAUCUUUAGGUUGAUUAAUGGAACUCUCAUUUAUUUGGAAGAAGAAUUUGAAUCCUUAAGAUAGCCUAAUCAUCUGUUGAAAUCGAAAGAGUCAAUACAACUUAAGAGUGAACUUAGCACAAAGAGAUAUCCUGAAUAAUAGUUGAGCACAUAUCUUGCCAAAGCCCUUAUUUCUCUCACUGUUAUUCAUUCAUUGCUACUUAGCUACCCAAUUUCCAUUAUUUGCUCAUAAUUGAUAAUCUUAGCUUUUACUCUUAGUUCAUUGAUAAUUCAAAAUCAAAGGUUUAUUUUCUUGAAUAGUGUUAAGUGAAGAUUUAUUUGAACAUUAUUUAAACUAGUACCUGUGGAGACGAUUUAAUACUAUAAUAUCUCUGACUAGCGAGCCUAAGUUUUAUACACUGGUUGUGCGCUCGUCAGCAAUGUGUCAACAAAGUCUUUCGUCCAGUCUACUAUGCUAGUAAGACUAUGAAUAGUGCCCAAGUUAAUUAUACCGUUACAGAAAAGAGCUAUUUGCCAUUGUGUUUGCUAUUGAGAAGUUCCACCCAUACUUGAUGGGUGUCAAAUUUAUUAUCUGCACAAAUCAUGCAACACUUUGUUAUCUUAUGAGCAAAAAGGAAUCUAAAGCUCGUUUGAUGAGAUAGGUUCUUUUAUUACAAGAGUUAGAUAUUGACAUCCAAGACAAGAAGGGAAGUGAAAAUCAAGAGGCAGACAACUUGUCUCGUUUGGAGGAGGAGGGGAGGCUACAUGAUGGCCUUGAAAUUAAUGACUCCCCGAUGAGCAACGUUUGGCACUUUCAAUGAAAGAGGUACCAUGGUUUGCGGAUUUGAAAAAUUUCCUUGUGAGUGGUAUUAUUUCGGAGGAGUUCUCUUCAAGCCAAAGAUAAAAGCUUAAGAGAGAUUGUCAAGACUACUAUUGGGAUUAACUAUUCCUUUACCGGAUUUUCACGGAUGGGGUGAUUAGAAGGUGUGUGCCGGAGGAGGAACAAAGUAAUAUUCUUGGGGCUUUCCAUUCUUCAUCGUAUGGUGGUCAUCAUGGUGGAGGAAGAACGGAGGCUAAAGUCCUUAGUUGUGGUUUCUAUUGGCCUACUCUCUACAAAGAUACAAAUGAGUUGGUAAAAAGAUGUGAUGAAUGCCAACGAGCUGGUGGAAUUUCAAAAGAAACAUGAUAUGCCCCUCACAAUCAUCUUGGAGAUUGAUAUCUUUGAUACUUGGGGUAUUGACUUUAUGGGCCCUUUCGUGAGUUCUAGUGGAAAUACCUACAUUUUUGUCAUGGUGGCUUAUGUGUCUAAAUGGGUUGAAGCCAUUGCUUUACCCAAUAAUGAGGCUAGAAGUGUGGUUACUUUCUUGAAGAGUCAUAUUUUUACAAGAUUUGGGACUCUGUGGGCAAUCAUAAGUGAUGGAGGGUCACAUUUUUGCAACAAGGUUUUUGACACUUUACCUGAAAAGUAUGGUGUUACUCACAAAGUGACAACUCCCUAUCAUCCACAAGCUAGUGGUCAUGUAGAAGUCUCAAACCGGGAGAUAAAGAGUAUUUUGUCCAAGACGGUGAAUGCAAAUCGGACGGUUUGGUAUAAUAAGCUUGAUGAUGGUCUACGGGAAUAUAGAACGGGCUUACAAAACACCUAUCGGAAUGUCUCCAUACCGAUUGGUGUUCGGAAAAACUUAUCAUCUUCCGGUGGAAUUAUAGCACAAAGCAAUGUGGGCCUUGAAGAAAUUGAAUCUUGAUAGGAAUGUAGUCGCUAACUAGAGGGUUGCACACUUGAAUGAAUUGGAUGAGUUCUGGUACCAUGCUUAUGAAAGUUUGUCAUUGUACAAAUAAAAGAUGAAAUAUCUUCAUAACAAGUAUAUCUGGAAUAAAGAGUUCAAGAUUAGAGAUCUAGUGUUGUUGUUCAACUCAAGGUUGAGAAUGUUUCCCAGGAAGCUCAAGUCAAAGUGGAGUGAUCUAUUUGAAAUUGUUGGUGUGACAUCCUUUGGUGCUUUGGACUUGAAAAAUAAGAACAAUGAAAUAUUUCUAGUCAAUAGUCACAGAGUAAAGCACUACUUGAGGAAAGUAGGUGAGAGCCACGUGGUGGAAGUUCUUUACUUCAAUUGAGGAUGUUAUGGCAUUGCGUUGUACCGUGACGUUAAAUAAGGUACUUCUUGGGAGGCAACCCAAGUUCUUUUCCUAGUCUUCUCUUUUAGUUAGAUGUUGUUUAUUGUUUUUAACUUGAUUUGAUGUGUGAUACAUGGAUUAGUGUCAGAAAUUGAAAUGAUGGCUGAAGCUGUGUCCGACAGGGAACAAUGUGGACCACACUUCUAUUAGUGCGGCCGCAGAAGAGGGAAUGUGGAUCGCAGAAUAUUUUGUGCGGCCGUAGAUUUUAUCUGUCGACCACAAUUACAAGGAUCGACUCAGGUACUUAAUUGAGAGUCCUCUGAAUUUUUCUCCCAACAGUGCGGAGUGAGUUUGCGGUCCCUCACAAAUUAUGCGGUCGCAAAAGAGAAUUAUCAAAGAAGUUACUGAAACUAAGUUGAAAACAAUACGGUCCGCACUCACUGCCCAGAUAACAAAGUGCGACCGCAUUCAAAAUUAUGCGGCCGCACUCACCCUCGUUUACCCUUACCUUCUGCUAAGUAUAAAUACCACAGUAACUUAACUUUUACCAUUUUCGCCAUUUUCAUUCACAAAUUGUCCCUCUAAGAAGUACCUGCUUGCUGGCACUUUGUGAUCACAAAUAACCUUUCACACUCAUUUGGAUGUUAUUACACUAGCACUAUCUAGUAUGCUUCACUUCAAUUUUGUUGUUUUUAUUUUUGAAUUCAUUUUGGCUUUUUAACUUCUUUUUAGGCCAUCUGUGAUUACAUCCCUUUAGUGUGUCUAUGUGGGGUAGUUUAACAUUGGGUUAUUGUCAAAGCAUGCUUAGAUUUGGUUGGGUUGUUGAUAAUCAUACCCUCACCAUGUUAUCCUGUGGAAUUGUACACAUGAUUGCAUAACCUAGGUAAAAAGACCGGUCACCUGUCACCGUUCUUAACUAUGCGGACCGCACUUGAAAUUGUGCGGUCCGCAAACUUCUGAUUUGGUAACUUGAGUGUUAGUUGAUUGUUCGGCCGCACUUUAUUUGUAUGGACUGCAGUUGAAAUUCCGUGGCCGUAAAAGGGAGGUCCGCACUGACAAUCAGAGAACUUCUUCUGUGAUGACUUGAGUACAUUUACUCAAGUGCAGACCGCAAAACUCAUUAUGUGGACCGCAAUUGGAGUUUUUUGGCCACAAUGAAGUGCGCACUGUCUAUCUUAGACCUCUCUUUGACGACUUGGCUCAACUACACUGAAGUGAGGCUGCACUUUUUCUUUACGGACCACACUUGAAAUUCUGCGGACAACACUUCACCAUCUGUCUACUGCAUGCUGCAAACUUGAAACUCUACUGCUUCUAUGGUGUCCUCUAAUGACUAACAUGACUCUUAACUGCUUUGCAACUUGUAUAUUAAGUGACAACUCUCUUUGCGCAUACACACACAAUGGUGCGAUCAAGAGAAUGAGGAGAGUCACUUAAAUGAAGGGGUGAACAAGGGAAAUGUAGAGGCAGAGAUGCCAUACAGUCGAGUGCAUAGAGGGCCAUUACAAAGAAAAUAAUCACAGGCCGGAAGAGAGGUAGAAGCCUCUCAAAGUCGAGUUCUUAUGCCCCAUCUAGGGAAGCCUCGGAAGGGAAUUUUGUGUCUCUAUCUGAAGAACACAACCCAGAACAAUCUAGGCAAUAGGGGUAGUCUGAGCCCUAAGUUGUUCCCUCCAUGUCUCACAGUACCUUCCAGGUCUUAGCUAACAUCAGUCAUGAGUCCAAUGCAGCUGCUCAGGACUCUAAUUCAGAUGAUGCCCCGAAUGACGGUAAAUGGGGAUUAAGUGCAAAAGCUGACAUAGCAAGAACUAAGAAGAAGGUGGUAUGGGAAGACCUAUUUUUGAGCUUACAAGCAUAUACAGACUUCUGAAUGUGGUGGAAGGAAAGGUCUCUUACCCUUGAGAGUCAAUUCCUCAUCAAGGAUUUAGACAAAUACAAUCCGGCAGUCUUGGAGUAGUUCACAAAGAGAAAGGGCUGGAUGCAAUUUACAGAAAAGCUGGUGGAUGUUAAGGAGCACCUUGUCUGGAAAUUCUACACCAAUAGGAGAACAUUGUAAAAGGGACAAAGGUCAGAAAAGUGCGCAACCUUAAAGUAAAAUUUGAUCAACGCACUUUGAAAAUAUUUCUCGGUCUUGAAGAUAUAGAGCCAAAGGAGUAUAUAGCUAAGUCGGUUGAGAAGGAGGUGGUUAGACUGUGGCUUGCUAAUAUUUUUGCACCUGGGCCUACUCCUCCUUGGAUAGGUGCCGGAGUGCCAAUCCUUCGCCAGACUCUGAGCUUUGAGGCAAAAGGGUGACAGACAUUUGUAUACACCAGACGUGACCCAUGCUAUUAUUGAGAACAACUUGCCAUUGGCAAGAGAAGUGCUGGUAGCUUCUAUCAUGGUCGGGUACUCAAUCAAUGUGGGUGCUUUGAUGUCGGUCAAUAUCUCUCUUAUUUCAUAGCAAGGAAACACUUCCUAUCUUUACCCUAGUACUAUUACUGAGUACUUAACUGACUCCAAGGUGGAGUCCAGGCCGUUUGAUAUGAAAGCCAAAUGGCCCAUUUGAUUUGUUCAAGUUGCAAGACCCGAGGAACCCAAAGAAGAGCACUCGACCUCCUACUUCUGCUGUCCAGUUUAAUGAGUCGGUAGUCGUAGCCUCGGGUCCCUUCGAGAUCCCUUCUAUUUUAGCUGAGCCUUCCACCAGUGCUAGAGCUGCUAUUCCUGAGCCAUCAUCCUCGGCCCCUACUCCAUUGCCUACUCUAGCUUCGAGACCGGUGCCUUUACCAACAUGCCCAUUGUCUUCUUUGUGGGUCUCCCAGACACUAGUGAGCCUUAACAACUAGAUGCAGACAACUACUUCAAAGCUAUCUGAAUCUCUAGUUCAGUUUGUAGGGCAUGCAUCGUCAUAGGCGGACACUUCUAAUGUUGACAUGAAGCUCACAAGGUCUUGGACAACCAGAAGGUGAUUAUGAAUACGCUAGUACAACAUGGUGCAGUGAUCAUGCGGUUGACCAAACAGGUGAAGAAGAUGAGAAAGACACAGGCCAAUAAGAAAUCAAUUGACUCACUCAGAGUUGAGGUGACUAGGAUAGCUGAGGUCGGUAACUUGCCUUUUUUACUUGCUACUAGGCCCCACCCAGCCCCACCCAGAUUAGCCUUCUCAAAAGGAUCCCAUUGCUUAGAUAGAGGAGCCUUGCAUCCAGCACUGUUGCUUUGGUGUGUGAUAUGUUUAGCUCUUAGUUAGCUCCCGCACAGGAUGAUGACACUAUUCAGUUAGCUCAGCUGGCCGGAACUGAUACUGCCGUGACACUGUGAUGACGGAGGACCCUUAGGGAGUUUCUUUGCCUCUCUCUGCUCUUUGAUCUUAUUUUUCUAAACAUUGGGGACAAUGCUUCUUUUUAUUUGGAGGGUGAAGGAUUCUAUAUUUAAUGAUUGACACAUUUGAUGACAUUAGGAUAUAAUAAUUAGAUGAUUUUAUUUUGUCUAUCUUUAGUAGUUUGUUACAUUUAUUAAUAUCUUUAAGUUUGAUUGUUUUGGUAGUUUAAUUGUUAUGUUUUCCUUCUUUUGUUAAUAAUAAGACUUUGAUUUUCUUAAUGUCGUGGUUCUUUCCAAAGGUGGUUUUUUGUGUGAACCAGGUGACUCUUCUCGAGGAUGGAUAGUGUGACAACGUUCUUAAGGGAAUGAGUGUGUUUCAUGUUUAGGUAAUAGUAGUAGUAAGUAGUAAUGACUCAAGAUUGCUAUGAGUCAUUUUUGAAAGAAGUAGCUCUAAUAAAAGUGACUUUGAGGUUCUUGAGUUGUCUUUGAUAAUCAUUAGGUGGUUGAGUGGACCAUAGUAACCUUUAACUUGACUGUGAUUGUUGUGAGUUUUUGUCUCUAUCCUUUUUUACGGUUUAGUUGUAUGAGAGGUAAGAUGAAAUUUUGUUGCUAGUCCAUGUACUUGAGUGAAUAGCCUAGAACUUGCUUCAAAUGUGCUUCAAGGUGAAAUUCUGAGUUUGCUUGGUUGGAAAGAUGAUUGUAGGCUUUCCUUGGAUUGUUUGAGCUUUCUAUUGCCACCCUAUGAUUGUUAUCCCUAGUUAACCCCUUUGAGCCUUUAGCCUUUCUCUAUUGAUAACCAUGCUAUAAGCCUUUACCCAUUUUGAACAUAAUCCUCUCUUGGCACUCGAACCUUCCUAAGUACUCAUUUGUAGUAAGUGGCUCAAAGCCUAAGUUUGGGGGGAAAGUUGACGAAUCUAAAAGAGGUAUCAAGGCAUUAAAAAGAGAGAAAAGAAAUGAUUUUCAAGAAAGAUAAAGAAAUAAAAGAAAGAACAAAAAGAAACAUAAAACGGGGACAAAAAUGAAGAUUGAUGAAAUUGAAGUGAGGUAAAUACCUCUAGUAUAAACAUCAAGGGAGAAAAUAAUGCAAUUGUCAAUAAAGAAUGAUGAAAAGUUUCUCUAGCCCCCAAGAAAAAGAAAUGCCUCUAAGGGUUUAGAAAAAUGUGAGCCAAGCAAUGAGAUAUGAAGAGAUUAAGGAAGGGUAUAACUACUUACAUCCCAUAUGGUAUCCUACCCCAAUCCAAAAUCCUUCAUCACAAUCCGAAAGAAGUCCUAUUUAAUUUCGAACCAAGUAAGCUUACACCAGUGAAGAUUUAUAUGAGAGGCAGGCCUAUGGUACUAGAAUCUUUGCUUGUCGCAUUCCUUUGUGAGAGAAGAGUGAAACCUUUAUGGAAAAUGGAAGGUAGAAGAGGAAGAGUUUGGAGUCCACCAUCAUUUACAUGAAAGAACAAGAGUCCUUGAUGAAUGUAGUCAAUUCUUGAAGCUUAAAUGUCACACUAGAGUUACAUACAAGUUGCACAUUUUUGAAACAUUUUACACCUUGUUUAGAAUGCAUGAGUAUUGUGGACAAUUAUUUGUCCCAAUUGAGUAUAAAUGACUUACAAUUGACUAUGUGAAAUAAACAUUCACUGAGGGAAAGAGGGAACUAAUAUAGGUUCUUAAGGAGAAUGAAAGACUUACGUUUGGGGGAGUUGAUAAGUGUGGAUUUUAAUCACUUAUUAGUACCUUCUUGGUUUAGUUUUUAGUCUGAAAGUACUGAUUUUUGUUUCCGAAUCUAAUGAAAAUGUGUGAAUUGCAGGUGUGCUGGAGAAUGUGAGCUCAACAAGAAAAUCUAACUCAAAGAGGAGAUAUUCCAACUCAGAACAAUCAAGAGGAGAAGUGUAAAGAAAAGUCCGGUUCGCAGAAUUCCAUCUGCGGCUGCAAAAGCACAUGUAGCCCGCAGAAAAUGAUAUACUGUCGCAAAGGAGAAACUGAAGCUUCAGGGAUAUCAGGCAGAAGUGCGAACCACAGGCCAAAACGUGCGGUCGCAGUUGAGGUUCGCACUGCUGAAAACUGAAAGAUUAGAGAGGUUGCAAUUGAAAAAGUCUGAAGCCUUCUCAAAGUGUGGUCCGCAACAAAUUUGUGCGGCCGCAAAAGCUUGGGCAUGGCCAUAGAAUCCCUCCAACUAAAAGAACAUGCAAGAGCAACAUACCAAAGUGUCGACCACAGAUUUAAUUGUGCGGCCUCAAAACCCUUUGAAGGGUAUUUUUGUUAGUGAAUUUCAGAAUACUAUAAGUAGACGAAGAACACUUUUUUAGUGAAACUUUUGUACUGUAGCAGCAACUAGUGGUUAUAUUCAGCUAUUUUGUGCAACUUAGAGCAACAAUUAGAGAAGACCCAUUUAUUUUCUGCUUUGAUUUUAGUUUUAUGUCUUCAAUUACUUCUUCUUUCCAUUGUUUUAUGUCAAUUACUAUGAGUAGCUAGAUUUUAUCUAGGGUUUUGAUCCAACCCUAGUGUGUAAAACUUAUGGGUGUUUACUAUUAGAACUUGUUAUUGAUUAGGUGGAUGUUUCCCUGUUUAUGCUUUAUUCUUAGAAUUAAUGGUUGCAAACAAUUAUUCAUGCCUAUUUGACUUAGUUCUUUCCUAACAAAGAGGAAUUUAGUCUAGAAAAACUUGGCUAAUACGAAAUUGAACUACUUAACGUUUUGAUUAGUUUCAUUAAAGGAUUAGAACUAGAGAUAGGGAUAAUCCAACUUGGACUCAUAUUCAAUUGUUUAGAUUGCUACCAAUUUGGUCUUGAGAAAGCUAAUUUGGGCAUAAUCACUCUUUAACCGAGAGGUAUUGAGUGUGUACUUGAGCAUUGAGAGUAAUAACAAACCCCGAUCUACCAAGCAAGCAUAGAUUUACUCUACCCAUUAGGUAUACACCUAGGUUAAGGUUACAACCAUAGGCUUUUCCCUAUUUGAUAAAAACAUCAAAAUAUUUCAAUCAUUAUUUCCUCACUAGUUAGAUAAAUGUUUUAGUAGUUGAAUUAGAUAAGAGUUACCCACUUUCGUUUGGAAGAUAAAUAUAGCUAUUUUGAGUUUCUCUCUUGAGUGUUUACCUCAACACCACUUUAAACUCCAUGUGGAUUCGACCCUGACUCGCGUUGGGUUUUAUUAUUGUAGAGAUCGUUUCAUACUCCUUAAUUGGGUGUGAAUUAGACGUGAUCACCUGCUCCAAAGCAUCACGGACCAAAUAAGUGUCGAACAACCUAGCCUCCCCAGGCUCAAACCAACCAACCGGAGGACGACAUUGUCUCCCAUAUAAGGCCUCAUACGGAGCCAUCCUGAUACUAGAAUAAUAGCUGUUGUUGUAGGCAAAUUGUGCAAAUGGUAGAAACUGAUCCCAAGAUCCUCCAAAAUCAAUAACACAUGCUCGUAACAUGUCCUCCAAAAUUUGAAUAGUUAGCUCGGAUUGCCCAUCGGUCUGGGGAUGAAAUUUUGUGCUCAACUCGACCUGUGUGCCCAACUCACCCUGCAGUGCUCUCCAAAAAUGUUAUUUAAACUACCUGCCUCGAUCUGAGAUAAUAGACACAGGCACACCAUGAAAGUGAAGAAUCUCACCAAGAUAAAUCCGAGCUUGCUGCUCUGAAGAGUAGGUAGUCAUGACUAGAAUGAAGUGUGCAGACUUAGUCAAUCUAUCCAUAAUGACCUACACUGCAUCAAAUUUCCUCAAGGUCCGUGGAAGCCCAACUACAAAAUACAUAGUGAUACGCUCUUACUUCCACUCUGGAAUAUCAAGCCUCUGAAGCAGACCACCCGGUCCCUAGUGCUCGUACUUCACCUACUGACAGGUCACAAGUUGAGCACCAUACUCAACUAUAUCCUUCUUCAUCCUCCGCCACAAGUAGUUCUGCCUCAAAUAAUGGUACAUCUUCGCGGCCCCUGGAUGAAUGGAAUACCGUGAACUAUGGACCUCCUCAAGAAUCAACUCUCGCAACCUAUCAAUAUUUAGAACACAUAUCUGAUCUUGUAGCCUCAAUACCCUAUCAUCACCAAAGGUCACCUCCUUAGCAUCACCGUGUUGCACUGUGUACCUUAGGACAAGCAAGUGGGGAUCAUCAUAUUUACACACCUUGAUGCGCUCAAACAAGGACGACCGUGAUACAACACAAGCAAGAAUCCUACUAGGCUCCAAAAAUAUCCAACCUCACAACCGAUUGGACAAAGCCUGAACAUCCAAAGCCAACGGCCUCUCCCCAACUAGAAUAUAAGCAAGACUCCCCAUGCUCUCAGCCUUCCUACUCAAAGCAUCGGCCACCACAUUGGCCUUUCCCGGGUGAUAAAGAAUGGUGAUAUCAUAGUCCUUUAGUAGCUUUAACCAUCUCUGUUGGCUCAAGUUUAGAUCCUUUUGCGUGAAUAAGUGUUGGAGACUCCUGUGAUCCGUGAACACCUCAUAAAACACGCCGUAUAGAUAAUGCCUUCAAAUCUUGAGCGCGUGUACAAUGGCUGCUAACUCAAAAUCGUGCAAUGGGUAGUUCUUCUCAUGAGGCUUCAAUUAACGCGAAGCAGAACAAUCACUCUACCCUUCUGCAUCAACACACAUCCAAUGCCAAUCCGUGAACCAUCACAAUAGACAGUAUAAGAACCCGAUCUCGAAGGCAAAACUAGAACUGGAGUUGUAGUCAAGGCAGUCUUGAGCUUCUGAAAUAUAUCCACAUACCCAUAAGACCACAUGAAUGGGGCACCCUUCUGCGUCAAUUUAGUCGAUGGCACUGAUAUAUAUGAAAACCUCUCCAAGAAAUAGCAAUAAUACCCAUCCAACCCAAGGAAACUCUGGAUCUUAGUAGCAGUAGACGGUCUGGGCCAACUCUGAACUGCCUCAAUCUUCUUCGGAUGCCCCUUAAUCCCCUCACUGGACACUACGUGGCCCAAGAAUACCACCAAGUCUAACCAAAACUCACACUUGGAGAAUUUAGCAUAUAGCUUCUUCUCCCUCAAAAUUUGGAGCACGAUCCUCAAAUGGUUCUCAUGAUCCUCCCGAUUGGGAGAAUACACCAAUAUAUUAUCAAUGAAAACUAUGACGAAGAAACCCAAAUACGGCUGAAAUACACUGUUUAUCAAGUGCAUAAAAGUUGAUGGGGCAUUGGUUAGCCAAAAGACAUCACCAAGAUACUCAUAGUGCCUAUAACGACUGCUAAAGGCUGUCUUUAGAAUAUCUAAAGCCCUAAUCAUCAACUGAUGGUAACCCGAUCUCAAGUCAUUCUUCGAGAAUAGCUUAGCACCACGAAGCUGAUAAAACAAAUCAUCAAUACGCGGUAGUGGGUACUUGUUCUUGAGACUAACCUUGUUCAACUAUCUAUAGUCAAUGCACAUCCUCAUAGAACCAUCUUUAUUCUUCACAAAUAGUACCGGUGCACCCCAAGGUGAUACAGUAGGUCUGAUGAAACCCCUAUCAAGCAACUACUUUAACUGUUCCUUCCACAACAUCAACUAUAUUGGUGCCAUGCGAUAUGGUGGAAUAGAGAUGGGCUGAGUGUCUGGCACCAAAUUAAUAUCCCUAUCGGGUACCAUGCUUUGCAGGUCUGCAGGAAACACAUCUGGGAACUCCUUCACUACUGGGACUUACUCAACAGUAGGAGUAUUAGCACUAACAUCUCUAAUGAAGGCCAAAUAUGCCAAACACCCCUUCGCAACCAUCCGUUGAGCCUUCAAAUAUGAAAUCACUCUACUGGGAGCGUGCCCAAGCAAACCUCUCCAAUCCACCCUAGGCAAUUUUGGCAUUGCCAACGUCACGGUAUUAGCAUGACAAUCAAGAAUAGCAUGGUACAGAGAUAACCAAUCCAUGCCCAAAAUCACUUCAAAAUCAACCAUACUAAGCAAUAAAAGAUCAAAUCUAGUCUCAUAAUCCCCAAUGGUAAACACACACGACCGAUAUACACGAUCCACAAUAAUAGAAUCACACACCGGUGUAGAUACAUGAACAUGCAUAUCUAAAGAGUCACGAGUCAUAUCUAAAUAAUGAGAAAAUUAUGAUGGCACGUAAGAGUAAGUGGAACUAGGGUCAAAUAAUAUUGAAGCAUCCAUGUGGCACAGUGUAACAAUACAUGCGAUCAUGACAUCAAAAGUAGUUGCCUCUGGCCUGGCAAGAAAUGCAUAGCAAAGGGCCUAACCACCGCCUGAACGACCUCCCCUUCCAGGGCGGCCUCGAACUGACUCAGUCCCACCACUAGCUGGCUGUGAGGGUGGUAUAGCUACUGGUGCUAAAACCAUAGGCUACGUGCUUUGCUAUGGGACCCUACUCAGAAGUCUGUGGCUAUCUCUCUUGAGAUGACUCAAAUCCCCACACUCGAAACAACCUGCUUAUGGAACCCUGAGUAGAUGGAGUACGGUAAGAACUCUGUGCUGGCAGCAUAUUGAAUGAUGAGUGAACUGGGCGAGCACUGUAUGAACUAUGGCUAACUAAUGAACCACGAGAAAUCUAACGAGCUACUGAGCGGGCCUAAAUGGAUGACCUCUGUUGUGAUAAGACUGGCCUCCAGACGAGGCACCACCAAAACCACCUGAACCACGGGGCUUCUUUCCCCUCCCGCUCCUCUCCUCAAGCUUGCGAACAUGCUCCAAGCGCCUUUUAACCCAAACAUUAAUGUAGACCAUAGUUGUGGCCAUCAAUGAAUCUCCUGAUCUUCUCCCUCUAAGUGAAAAUCAACCAUACUGCAUGAUGUCCCAAAUUCGAGCAUCUCAUCUCGUACUUAUUCACAUUCAUACCCUCUUAGCGUUGCUGCUCAAACUCUCUAUGCAACCCCUCUUGCGAGUCUGUGGGCCAAACUUCUCUAAGAAGAGAACUGGAAAUUGAUGCCAUAUAAGUGGUGCUGUGCCAGCUAGUCUACAUGACUCAUAGGUCUACCACCAUCUAUAGGCUGCCCCUAUAAGCUGAACAGUAGUAAACUCAACAACACUGGUGUCCAUAAUCCUGCUGCGCGAAGAAUCCGAUGACAUCGAUCCUAAAAACUCUGAGCAUCCUCUGACUCUCCUCCACUAAACCGGGGAGGAUGAAGCCUCUAGAAGUGCUCUAACCUCUUGUGCUCCUCAUCAGUAAUAGAUGGACCAACCUCGGCCCGAGCAGCAACAACUGGCUGAACUAGAAACACCCUUGGUGUUUGAUAAGCAUGAGCUAGCUUCUCCGGUGUAUGGACGGCAAAAUUCUAGGCUCGUCCCCUAUCUUGUGAGGUAGCUGGUGCAACUGGUAUCAUACCCGCUAUAACCAAGCUCGUGUACGCACUAAAGAUCAAAGCCAAAGUCUCCUGAAGAUAAGGUAUAUCAAUAGGUAGCGCCGAUGUCUUUGCUGGUCCCUUCGACUCAAUAGUAUUGGAACCUGCUCCUCCACUGGAGCGAUUUGUGGCUCCAUAGGUGCUGUUCUAGAUAAAGUGCAAGCCCCACCACGGCCCCUACCUCGGCACCGACCUCUCGCGGACAUGACUGGUGGCACUGGUGCCUGUCUGCCCGAUCCGGCUUAACGUGUCAUCACUAUUUGUGAGAGAAUAGAAGAGUAAAGGUUCAAACUUCGGAAUUAAUAAAUUUGCAUGACAAAAAUGCAAGAAAUUGAUGUUUCCUAAUAGUUCGGUAGCCUCUCGAAGAUAAGUACAGACGUCUCCGUACCGAUCUGCAAGACUCUAAUCAACUUGCUCAUGACCUGUAGAACCUAUGAAUCCUAGUGCUAUGAUACCAGCUUGUCACGACCCAAAAUCACCUACCGAUCAUGAUGACGUCUAACUCACUUGUUAGGCAAGCCAAACAUAACAAAAGCGAAACAUAAAUACUGAAUUAACAGAAGUAGUACAAGUCUAAGGCCAUAACAUAAAUAAUAACGUCGAAAUACAGUGUCAUGAGCUCUAAGCAGAAGUACAAGUCUGGAAUAAAAAUAGCAAUAUUGUCUGAAUGAAAAUAAAAGUACGAAAGGAAAAGAGACGCCAAGACUGCGUUCGAGAUGCAACUCUACCUCUCUCUCAAAAGCUAAACUCACCAACAAGCCUCAGCUACUGAUGGCUCGGUCCAAUAUCUAGAUCUGCACAAUUAAGUGCAGGGUAUAGUAUGAGUACAACCGAUGUACUUAGCAAGUAUCAUAACUAACCUCGGCGAGGUAAUUGAAGCAAGAAUUAUUAGUGAUACUCGCUAUUCACAUGUAUAGUUCAUAAAUCUAACAAGUACAGAACAAUAAUAUGAUAAAGUCAUGAAUCAUAGAUAAAACAAUCUUAGUUCUCACAAUAGCUUGACAUUCUCUGCUCAGUCAACGAUCUAGCAUAUCUCAUACCGCGUGUACACCAUCAAGAGAGAAACAUGAGAGGGUGACCCUCGGGGAUGGAUUCAUAUCCACACGCUACACGGACAACUCAUGCAAUACACAGACAUCUCACGUGCCAACAAUAACAACUACACGAACAACUCACGUGCUACACGGAUAACUCACGUGCCAAUAAUGUCAAUAUCUCGGAUCCGCACGGGCAAUUCAUGUAUUGUACGGACAACUUACAUGCCAAUAGUAACAAUAUCUUAGAUUCGCACACACAAUUCACAUGAUGCACGGACAACUGAAGUGCUAAUAAUAACAAUAUCUCAGAUCCACACGGAUGAUGUUCGGCCAGAAAUGCAUAUAUUUACUCAUUGUUGCCUCACAUUCUAAUACUUUUAAUCGUCUUUUGAGUAUUAAUUAAAUUACUUUAUGCUUAAUAUUAUAUUUUAACUAUAUAGGAAUAAAGCGGUAUAAGGAUGAUGAAAUUUGGAGGGAAAAUAGUGAAGUUGAAUAAAAUGAGGUGCAACACGUCCACUAUAGUGAUGAAGGUUGACAAUUAAAAUGUGAACACCACUAAUAUUUGGAUGGAAGAUUACUAACCUGCAUGGAGAUAAAACAAAAAGUUAGAUAUUAUCUUUACUUGAGCUUACUACUAAAAACAAGCACGUAGCAUAAAAGGUUAAGGGAUAUUUGGACAAAAAUUGAAGGCAACAAAAUGAAUGCAAAGUUAGUUAGCAACCAAGGAUUUUAAGCAAGCAAAAACGCUUAUGCCUCCAGCGCUAGGCCAGCGCGAGGCGCUGGUCUGGACACUGUGGCAGGGAUGUUUUCCUAUUUCGCCCGAAAAAAGGUUAUUUCGACCCUACAUGGUCCUAACUCAUAUAAAAGGGUCAUAAACCUAAAUUGGAGGGGAUCUAACAUAUUUUUGGGAGGAGAACACGCUACUUUGGAGGGGAGAACAUAAACCACGCUUGGAGAUUUCAACUAGUUUUAUUCUCUUCUCUUCCUUUAAUCUCAUAGUUUGUUAGUUCUAGAGUUGUGGUGCUACGUGAAUGUUGUAGUUUGAAACUUGAAUUAUUCUUAUUAUUUUAUCAUAUUGGUAUAUUUAUUCAAUCUUGCGCUUGAUUAUUUGAUUGCUUAAUCACCAAUUAAAUACUAUCUACGAAUCUAGGAUUGAACUCGGGAGAGGGAAUUCUAGAUUGCAUAUAAGAUUGAGUAGAGCGAGAUCUUAAACCUGAAUAACGGGGAAUGGAUUUGCGGCUAGGAUAGGGAUAUAUCUAAUCACCUUUCUUGGUUAUUAUACAGGAAUUAUUAAUGUGUUCUUGUUAAUCCUAAUUCCUUAGGAAUAUAGGUGUUAGGUUAGAGUCUCUUGGAAGGCUGGUGCAGUAACAGGAGUCUCAGGUGCCUGCCCUCCAACUGGCACUACUGGUGGCUCCUCUAUAGAAGCUCAUGCGGGUCCUCUGGCUACACCACGUGGACGUCCUUGGCCCCUAUCCCAGCCCCGGCCUGUCGUGACUCUAGCAGGGGGCACGGGUGUCUGGUCCUAUGAUCCAGGUGUACGUGUCCUCACCAUCUGUUAGAGAAUAGAAAGACAGAAAUUUAUAAUCCGAAGUCAAAAUCUCGCACGAUAAGGAAUCAAAGAAGUGAAGCUUUUCCUAACAGUUCAAUAGCCUCCCGAAGAUAAGUACAGACAUCUCCGUACCGAUUAGUGAUACCCUACUAAACCUGCUUAUGACUCAUAACACAUAUGAACCUAGAGCUUUGAUACCAACUUGUCACGACCCCAAUUUCCCUUCAUGGGAUAUCGUGACGACACCUAGUCUCUAAGGCUAGGUAAGCUUAAACAAUAUGCGGAAACAUUAAAUAAGAGAUUUAAACUUGAACAUCCCAACAAUUUCAUAAAAGGAACCUACCAAAACUCAAUACAUAAAAUCCCAAAACAUGGUGAGAUAUAAGUCACAAGCUUUAAGUACAGAACCGAAUAAUCCUAUACAGCACUGUCUGCAAAAAUAUAAAUAAGUAAGAGAAGAACGGAAUAGAAGGGACUCUGAGGCCUACGGUCGCGGGCAGGUGUACCUUGAAGUCUCCAAGAAGCAACACAACGCACUAAUAUCGGGGCUGGUAAGAUGCACCUGGAUCUGCACAAAAAGAUGUGCAAAAGUAUAGUAUGAGUAGACCACAAUGGUACCCAGUAAGUGCCAAGCUUAACCUCAGUAGAGUAGUGACGAGGUCAAGUUAGGGCCCUAUCGGAAAUAAUAGGAAACAAGGCAGAAGAUAUAAUAAUAUAAUGAAAUGACUGGGAUGUGAACAAUGAGAAAUUACAAAAAGAUAACAACACAGCAAAUAAUGAUAAACAGCAGGGGCGCUCCCGAGGUACUACCUCAUAGUCCCAAAAGUAAAUACGCAAUAGGGGGCACUCCUGAGGUACCGCCUCGUAUUCCUAAAAGUAAAUAUGCAAUAGGGGCGCUCCCAAGGUAUCGUAUCAUAGUCCCAAAAGUAAAUAAACAACAGGGGGUGCUCCCGAGGUACCGCCUCGUAGUCCCAAAAGUAAAUAUACACAGAUAGCCGAUGGGACAAUGAAAUUACUGCAAGGAAUCCUACAGUUAAAGACUGAAUACAAAAUCAAGGAAGCAGGUAAUCCAACUAAGCAUGUUGCACAAAUUGCAAGUAAGAGAUAAGACAUGUAGACAUGCGACAUUAGGCUAAACAUGAUGGCUACACAUGCUAGAGUAACUCAUUUAAGGAAUUAAAAAGGAAAAUACUUAGCAAGAACCAGAUUUUUAACAUUUAACCCUAGUACGCACUCGUCACCUCGCGUACGACCUUGACGUAUUGCAAAUACCAUAACAGUACGAAUACCUAAGGGGAGUUUCCCCCACACAAGGUUAGACAAGUCACUUACCUCAAUCUCGCUCAAUCAAUCAAUAAGAAUGCCUUUCCCUCAACUUUGAAACUCCGAUCGGCUCGAAUCUAGCCAACACAAUUACAUACUAUAAAUAUAACUAUAAGAAACUAAUUUAAAUAAUAAAUCUACAACUUUAGCAAAGAAUUGAAAAAUUGCCCCAAAAAGUCGACCCGGGCCCAUGUCUCAGAACCCGACCAAAUUAUAAAAUUCGAACACCCAUUCGAUAUCGAGUCUAACCAUACAGGAAUUACUCAAAUCCCACCUAAAAUCACCUUUCAGAUCCCCAAAUUUUAGUCUAAGAAGUUUUCCCAAUAUUUCUUCAAAUUUCCAACUAAGAACACUAAUUAAAUGAUGAAAACAACAAUAGAUUCGUGUAAUAUAGCCAAAUCUGAGUGAGAAUUUCUUACCCCAAUGAUUUCCUUGCAAAUCUCUCGAAAAAGUGCCACAUACCGAGCUGUAUAAGUACAAAUAUCAAAGUGAGAUCAAACCCUCGAAAAUCCCCUUUUCUGCCCAGUUAAACCACUUUUAUGAUUCAUUUAGCCGCUUUUGCGGUCAGCCGACCGCAUUUGCGGAAAGUCACUGACGUUGACCAACUGCUUUUGCGGUUGCGAAUCCCGCUUCUGUGGGUGCGCAUCUGCGCAACCUCGUCCGCUUCGGCGGACCGGCCUCCCCAAGCUCUCUUCUGCUUCUGCGAUCAUCCUUACGCAGAAGCGACACCGCUUUUGUGACCUACUUGUCGCAACUGCAACCACUGGCCACCCUCUUCAGCCCCAUUUCUGCGCUUGCCCGCUCGCUUCUGCGAGCUCGCACCUGCGAGCAAAAUUCCACAGGUGAAAAUGCACCAGAAGGCAGAAUCCCAGCAAAUGCAUCAAGUCCAAAUAUGAUUCGUUAACCAUCCGGAAUCCACCCUAGCCCGCGGGACCUCAGCCAAAUAUACCAACCAGUCCUAAAAUAUCAUACAAACUUAGUCGAGCCCUGAAAUAACAUCAAACAACGCUUAAAAUAUGAAUCGCAUCGAUUCAAGCCUAAUGAAAUUUAGAACUUCUAACUUCUACAUUCGAUGCCAAUUCCUAUCAAAUCGAGUCCGAUUGACCUGUUGCACACAAGUCAUAAUUGACAUUACGGACAUACUCCAACUUCCGGAAUCGGAAUCCGACCCCGAUAUCAAAAAGUCCACUCCCAGUCAAACUUUCCAAAAAUCAUCCAAUUUUUCAACUUUUGCCAAUUAACGCCGAAAUGACCUACGGACCUCCAAAUCAACAUCUGAACACGCUCCUAAGGCCAAAAUCACCAUAUGGAGCUAUUGAAACCGUCAAAACUCCAUUCCAGAUUCGUCUUCACACAAUUCUAACUACAGUCAAUUCCGACGACUUAAACUUCCAUUUUAGGGACUACGUGUCCAAUUUUACCCCGAAACCAAAAACCAACCCUCCUAGAAAGUCACAUAACCACAGAAUGAAAUAGAGGGAGCAAUAAAUAGGGGUUCGGGGCUAAUACUCUCAAAACGACCGGCCGAAUCGUUACAUCUUCCCCCUCUUAAAACAAACGUUCGUCCUCGAACGAGUAUAGAGACAUACCUAAAGUGGUGAAAAGAUGAGGAUAAUGGCUGCACAUAUCAUGCUUGGUCUCCCAAGUCACCUCCUAGACCGGAUAACCCCUCCACUAAACCUUCACUGAAGCGAUGUUCUUUGACCUCAUCCUUCGAACCUGCCUAUCUAAAAUGACCACCGGCUCCUCGACAUAAGAUGAUCCUUGUCCAACUGGACUGUGCUGCAGUCUAACACAUGAGAUGGAUCGUCGUGAUAUUUCUGGAGCAUGGAACCAUAGAAUACUGGAUGAACUGCAGAGAGACUAGGUGGUAGUGCAAGUCUGUAAGCCACCUCUCUAACCCUCUCAAGAAUCUCAAAAGGCACGAUAUAUCUAGGGCUUAACUUUCCCUUCCUCCCGAACCUCAUAACACCCUUCACGGGAGAAACCCGGAACAAGACCCGCUCCCCAAUCAUGAAUGCAACUUCCCGAACCUUCCGAUCCGCAUAACCCUUCUACCUGGAUUGGGCAGUACGAAGUCAAUCCUGAAUCAAGUUAACCUUUUCCAAAGCAUCCUGAACCAAAUCUAUACCCAAUAGCCUAGCCUCACCCAACUCAAACCAACCUACUGGAGACCGACAACGUCUACCAUACAAAGCCUCAUACGGGGCCAUCUCAAUGCUAACCUGAUAAUUGUUGUUGUAGGAAAACUCCGCAAGUGGCAAGAAUUGAUCCCAAAACCCCCCAAAAUCCAUCACACACGCAUGAAGCAUAUCUUCCAAUAUCUGAAUAGUGCGCUCGGACUGUCCGUCCAUCUGAGGGUGAAAUGUUGUACUCAAAUCCACCCUAGUACCCAACUUAUAUUGUACUGCUCUCCAGAACCGCGAUGUAAACUGCAUACCCCGGUCAGAGAUGACAGAUACCGGCACUCCAUGCAGCCUGAAAAUAUCACGAAUGUAAACCUGAGCCAGCUGCUCCGAAGAGUAAGUAGUAACCAUAGGAAUGAAAUGAACCAACUUGGUCAAUCUAUCCACAAUCACCCAAACUGCAUCGAACUUCCUCUGAGUCCGUGGGAGCCCAACAACGAAAUCCAUAGUGAUCCGCUCCUAUUUCCACUCCAGAAUCUCUAGCUUCUGAAGCAAUCCACCUAGUCGCUGAUGCUCAUACUUCACCUGUUGACAAUUUAGGCACCGAGCUACAUACUCCACUAUGUCCUUCUUCAUCCGCCUCCAGCAAUAGUGCUGCCUCAAGUCCUGAUACAUUUUUGCGGCACUUGGAUGAAUGGAGUACCGCAAACUGUGAGCCUCCUGGAGAAUCAACUCAUGCAAGCCAUCUACAUUGGGCACACAUGGCAUGUCCUGCAUCCGUAAUACACCGUCAUCUCUAAUAGUGACUUCCUUGGCUUCACCAUGUUGAACCGUGUCCUUAAGGACAAGUAGAUGGGGGUCAUCAUACUGACUCUCCCUGAUACGAUCAUAAAGAGAAAACUGAGAAACCACACAAGCCAAGACUCUGCUCGGCUCGGAAACAUCCAAUCUGACGAGCUAGAUGGCCAAGGCCUGAGCAUCCAAGGCUAAAGGCCUCUCUGCUACUGGUAGAUAUGCUAAACUGCCCAAACUCUCCGCCUUGAGACUCAAGGCAUCGGCCACCACAUUGGCCUUCCUGAGAUGACAUAGAAUGGUGAUAUCAUAAUCCUUAAGCAACUCCAACCACCUCCGAUGCCGCAAGUUAAGAUCCUUCUAGUUAAACAGAUAUUGUAGACUCCGGUGAUCGGUAUAGACCUCACAAGGGACACCAUACAAAUAGUGUUGCCAGAUUUUUAACGCAUGAACAAUAGCUACUAACUCGAGGCCGUGGACAUGAUCAUUUUUCUCAUGCACCUUCAGUUGUCUAGACGCAUAGGCAAUCACAGUACCAUCCUGCAUCAACACCGCGGCUAGACCAAUGCGCGACACAUCACAAUACACUAUAUAGGACCCCGAACCAGUAGGCACUGCCAACACCAGAGUUGACAUCAAGGCCAUCUUGAGCUUUUAAAAGCUCUACUCACACUCCUAGGUCCACAUGAACUGUCAUACCCCGACCCCGGGGAGCGCGCCCAGUGCUCAACCGAGAUACCCCGGCCGGGCAAGCCUUCUAAAUGCCUUCUACACAACCUUGACCAUUAACAAUAUAAGAAUCAAUACAAGUGAUAGACAUGAGAAGAGUUAAGUAUUCCACAUUAUUUUUUCAUUACUAAAAAGGUAUUCAUGUACGAUUUCUAAAAUAUUACAAGUUUAUAGAUAUGAUGAAAAACAUGUUUACCAAAUACCAACACUCAGUAGUUUAAUUCCCAACAUCAAACACCACCCACAAAAUGUCAACGGAACCUCUAAGUAUAACAAAAGAGUAGUAUGGAAGUUCUGGCAACAACGCCCCGGCUAUAAAUCAAAACACAAUGUACAACAUCAAAUGACAUCAGGCCUGGAAUAGAGUAGGGCUCACCAAAACCUACUGAAAAGAGAGUAACUACUAACGAGGACCAAAGCUGCCCGCUAAUGAACCACCUGUAUCCAUUGAAGAUGCAGCGCCCACGGAAAAAAGGGACGUUAGUACAUAUAGAAUAGUACUAGUAUGUAAAGCUAAUUGUUCUCUUUCGAAAUAGAAUGCCAAUAACAGAAGGGGCAACACCAUCGAGAAACAAGUAACAAUCGAUGAUAUCCAAAUGCCAAGUUAAAACAUAACAAUUUUCAACAUUCGAAAAAUAUUAUAUAUUUUUGGUUGGGAGAUCAUUAGCACCUAUAUACCACCGUGUUUUUAGCACAGAGUCCGAUCACGCCCGAUCGGCAAAGCCAUAUCCCCACGAACAAUGUGGUUUGACAUGUGGUGUGAAAGAAAUAUGUUAUCAAGAGUAGUACCACCAUGUGCACAAAAUGGCGUUCGAUCUCUACCCGAUCGGCUAGGCCGCUUUCCCACAUAUGUCGUGUGGGUUGACUUUCCAAUUCACAGCAAAUAUCAACCCCAUCCCAAUUAAGGGGAAUAACCACUAUCAUAUCAAUAUUUCAAUCUCAUCCCAAACAAGGGGAAUAAUUACAAUCCACCCCUAUACUGGCACGUGUAGUUUCGGGUAUAUGCCUUAUGACCCACCCUUCCUCAGCUUGCUAAUGAUACUCCCAAAAACAUUUUUGGUUUGCACACGGAAAAACAAAAGCACAAAUAUAUUUUAUAUUCACCUCAUUACCUUUCACACUAUAUAUAGCCUCGUUAGUACCUUCAACCAUUCGCAACAUCAUUAUAAUUCCAUUGGCUCUCUUGGCCAUACUUAUGAUUCCUCAUCCCAAGGCACGGUGGUCGUAUCUUAUAUUCCACACUUUCAUUUUUUUUACUUUCAAGGAUUAUCGACAUAAAUAUCAACAUAUAGAAUAUUCCGGAAAUCACAACUUUAAGUUCAUUAGUAAUGAAGAUUUUAAACACAAUGGAUUUCUUUCCGAGAAAUGGAGUUAAAUGGUUGGAAAUCGAAGCACAAAUUAAAAUCAUAAACGAGUAACACAUCAUUUAUUCUUGAAAUACUUUUCCCAAAAAAGGCAAUACACAAUUUCAACUCACAAAUAUGUAACGGCUUAAAACACAUUGGAAAUACUUACAAAGCAUAACAUCAUUUAAAGCAGCCACAUUGGGGCAUGACUUGAGGACAUAAGCUUUUAGGCAAAUCUAUUUUCGAAGUCAAUUUGGAAUAGUUGAAUCAAGGCUCAUUUCAUAACCUUUCACACAUCACUUCAUUUCAUUGGCACCAUUGGCCACAAGUAUAAUUUUCAUUAUUGGCACCGUGACCACGUAUUACAUCUCCAACCCACUUCUUUCACUUUCAAGCAUCCUUAUAGAUUAUCAACAACAAGGUAUUUCAAAUCAAGACUUUAGGUACACAUAUGAGUAAUAGAAGUUUUAGAUGCAUGUAGUAUUAUUUCCAAGUUAUGCAUUAUGGACUCUCAUUUGAAACACGACUCAAAGCCAUAACAUUUUAAUACACAUAUAAUUCUUGAACACAUUCCCGAAGGAUAAUAUAAUGUGAUAGGAACAUUCGAAAAAUAUUUUGAAUAUAUAAUUCUCGACACUUUGCUUACUCGGGACAAUCGAAAUUAUUGGGAACAACUCGGAACAUGGGAAUAAAGAACUUAAGCCAACCAUACUUGAAACUUACGGGAACAUCAUGGAAUUCAAUUUUAAGAGAGUAGUUUAGCCAACAUACCUUGCUUGAGCUUUCCUUAAAUUACUACAAUGUUCCUGAAAUCCUAGCAACUUCGAUCUAUUUAGAAACAUAACAAAAUUGAACACAGAUUAGGAAGAUAUUCAUGGUUUUAGCUCGUUUGAGCAUUUUAUCAAACACUAGAUGCCCAAAUUUGAUUACAAGGUUCUUCCACAAGAUUUCCUUCACUCCACAACCUAACCUUUACCCACUUGAGCUCAACAAUCUUCCUACAAACCUUAUUGGUACAUGCAUGUAUAAAUAAUACUCUCACGCCUAAGAAUCAUACUCCCAAUCAAUCAUCUUUUACCCUAAUUCAAAAUUAUAAACUAGGGUAUGGAACCUUACCUCUUAGAUGAAGACCUUGUGAGCUUUCUUAUUGAAUUUCAAGGCUUGAGCAAGAUUUUGUUGAACAGUUACCUUAGGGAUUUCUCCUCUCACUCUAGGACACUUCCUCUCUCUAAAAAUAUCAGAUAUUCCCUUCAAAAAUGGUCCAUUACGUCUAUUUAUUGAGAUAGGGUCGGGUUAUAUAGAUAGAAGAAUGGAUCCUCCGAAAUUCAGACCGAGCUACAGACCAGGCUUCGCGAGAUCUGUAGCAAGCUACAGACCAGGCUUCGCGAGCUUUGUAGCGAGCUACAGACCAGGCUUCGUGAGGGAUACAUCACGGUCUAGCGUGCUACAGUCCAGGCUUCACGAGGGAUAUAGCAAGGUCUACCGUGCUACAGAUCAGGCUUCGCGAAGGAUAUAGCAUGGUCUGGCAUGCUAGGAGCUGGGCGACGCGAGGUUGAAAUGAUUCAACUCCCCCAACGCAUUGUUCAACCCAAAAAGUCCAAAAAUACAAUACAUUAGCCUACACAGAGUCUCCUCUGUAAUUGGACUUAUCCACAUGCCAGAGAAUAACCAAAACCACUCCUAACAACAUAUCCACAACUCGUCAAAGCAUCAUAAUAUAUAUACCAGCAGCACUAAUCUCACCAUUAUAGGCAUUAUAUUAUCAAAAGUGAUAUAUGAACAUGAGUUGCACAUAUUUAAAUCAUAACACAUAGAAAGUACCUUUCGAUCCACAAUCAUUUAACUAUGCAAUCAAGUGAGAACAUUUUCUUUCCUUAACACUUUCGGCCUUCGAGGUGGCCUCCUCAACACACAGACUUUGCCAUAACACACGAAGGAGGCAAUCUCAACUUCCGUACUUAUCGAACAAGGAUGAAAAUUAAGUACCUAUCAUAGGCCAAUUAUACAAUAACUUCACCUUCACUAGCUUUCACCGGAACGAUAGACAAAGGAUUUCCAACUACCUUCUUAGACAUAGACACAUGAAACACCGGGUACAUGGAGGACAAUGAUGGGGAAAUAUCAUACUCAUAGUUCGGCAUAUUUCCUUCAAGAUUUCAUAAGGCCUAAUGUGACUACACAUACUUUACCUUUAUUAGCAAAUUCACAUAAUAUCGUCAUGGAGAAAAUCCUGAGAAUAACAUGUUUACUUUCUUCAAAUCUAAAUCUCUACUGCGAACACCCAAACUAAAUCUUUGGCGACCUUCAACAAUUACUCUAAGAUGUGCUAGCAUGAAUAUAGCCAAAACUUUUCCUACCCAAUAUGUUUGAUCAUGGGAUGAUGCUUCUUCUUUGACAUGUUUGAACCUUCAACCUCCAUAGGUUUACUAUAAAUACGAACAACGAGGUUUUGAGUUUGAGCUGAAAUUAUUCAAGAAUCCAUCAAGGUGUUGAGUAGUGCAUUUCAGGAGGUUAUAUCCUAAGAGAUAUAAAGGUUACUACCAAUAGCACUGACAUAGUUAAUCAUUGUGAUGACAUCAUCGAUUCGACAAAUGAGGCAUAAAGUUGCCUAGUAGACGUUGAUAAAUUUGGAACCAUGUACAUGAUCUUAAGAUGUAAAGGAAGUGAGUCAUUUUAGACAUGUGAUAUAUGGGAGGCAUAAUCGGGAGGAUAAAGAGGUUAGCAUCAGUACUUCUUGGAAGACUAUGAGUUAUAAAAAGGGAUAGUAACAAUUGUUUCUUCCAUAUGUGCUUUGCUCGUCAAUAGUAAUCCCAAAGAAGAAAUAGCCAAGUACGUGACACCAGUCGUCUCCUGGAGUGUAGGGAAAAUCGGUUUAACUCAAAAUAAGAAGAUUCUUGCACCAUGAAUGUGAUAAAGAUUUCAAAAAUACAUGCAGUUGUGUUUUGCUCUUAACAGUAUUUUCCACAAGGAACUGCGCCCCAAGCCUACCAGGUUGAAAAAGAGAUUGAACAUUUGUGAAAUUAUUAUAAUUCGGGCAGCUUAACCCCUUCCCGAUAGUAGAUCUUAUAUGAGAGGACUAGGGACAUGAUAAACUUGUCUUUCAAAUCAAUAUACCCAUGAUAUAUGCCAAAAUCUGAAAGCAUCUAUUUUCAACCAUUCACGAGUGAAACCGCAUAGCUAGGACAUCUUAAUAUUGGGAUGAAAUCAUGUAUUGGUUAGAGAGAAUAAACACUUUGAUAUGAGCUGGACAUGUGUUUUUUCCAUAAUAACUCUCAAGGUGCAGUACUGGGUCACUUCAUGGGAAACUACAAUACUAGAAACAAAGUGAGUUACUCACUGAGGCAUGAUCUAGGUGGACAUGAACGUCAUACUAAGAUAGGCGAACAAAAAGGUCUUCCUGUGAUGAAAUCGUGAAAAUCUCAAAUUUCCCAGAAACUUUAUGCGGACAAGUGACCCCUUUCAAUUGACAUGUACACAUAUGAUAGGUGCUGAGAUAUGCUCUCAUGUUACUAGAAAGUGAAAAGGUUUCAUGAUAAUAUUCACAAAGGAGUAAAGUGACUGUUCAAACCAUAUGAGCCAUAUACACCGGAGAAAGAAAGAAUGGCUCAAGAAGGAUCUCCACACUAGGCUGUUUUACAUUAGAUUUGGUACCACAUAGGUAAAUAAUAUGAUGGUGCGUGUAUAGGCACAAGUGAGCGGAUGUUAUCCAUUCGAAUCACAAAGUUUUAUAAGAAAUUCAUCAGGUAUAGUCCCUUAUUAAGAAUUUAGGGAAGCAAGUGGGAAGUAUUAGCCUAGGGUUAUAACUCAAUUCAAGGAAAUAUAUAUAGAGUUCUAUUCCACAAGAGGAUGUAAAUAAGAGAAUUUGUGAUAGAGUGGCUUCACGAAUAAUGUGUCUCAUUCAUAAAGUAAGUACAUGCAAUGUUUGGUGAUUCAGAUUCUCGUUAAGACCAUACUUAUGCAGGCUCUCGAUAUAGAUGUACAUAUACAACAAGGAAAAGCAUGUGGUGUUCAGAAUGAUAUACUAAGGAGUGACUUACUUGGUAACUUUAGAUUGACGGGGCAGUGCCUUAACUGAUACCCCUCGACUCCAAAUCCGUAACAUACAUUGUUACCAUAGUGACAUACCCCUGAAUGACAUCUCCUACACUUCACACAACGAGGAUGAGGUCCGUUAACCUUACUCGCCCCACCGACCUGAUAUUUACCCUUUUUGCAUACAUCAUAAGCAUUUCCCCUAUCCUUCCUCUAGGACCCCGUGACGGGAUUAACAAUCUUUGCACCAACUCGCUGUAUGGGCUUUUUGAAUCGCCCAAUUCUACCACCCCUAACACGCUCCUGAGCAUACUCACAACACGACGCAAAAUGUUCCUGCCCGCAUAUCGGGCAGACCGGGAUGGGUGUACCCAACCUAAGGGCAUUUGUUCUUCUUGUGCCCCCUCUUUCCACAACCAUAACAUAUUUCAAGAAUCAUCCAACAUAAACCUGAGUGGCUCUUCUUUCAUAUCAAACAUUCCGGCUUAUUGAUGCCAAUAAUCCUCUUUCAUUUCUUAGGUGCUCUCACCAUAUAUUCCGGUGGCACGGUAACAUUAAUAGGAACAAGGACACUUCCCCUAGAAACUGGUUCUUUCAAUACCACCUCGCUGCUUCAAACCUAUGGGUUACUCAUAUGGAAAAUGAGACACGACAAGGAAAUUAGCUUCCUAUCUUGAGCUCUAUCGCACGAUCUGAAGUACCAAAGAAGGGUGACAUUCCUAAGUGCCCAAGUAGCCUCCUAAUUAUAGAUGUGGUCGACAAUACACCGAUANNNNNNNNNNNNNNNNNNNNNNNNNNNNNNNNNNNNNNNNNNNNNNNNNNNNNNNNNNNNNNNNNNNNNNNNNNNNNNNNNNNNNNNNNNNNNNNNNNNNNNNNNNNNNNNNNNNNNNNNNNNNNNNNNNNNNNNNNNNNNNNNNNNNNNNNNNNNNNNNNNNNNNNNNNNNNNNNNNNNNNNNNNNNNNNNNNNNNNNNNNNNNNNNNNNNNNNNNNNNNNNNNNNNNNNNNNNNNNNNNNNNNNNNNNNNNNNNNNNNNNNNNNNNNNNNNNNNNNNNNNNNNNNNNNNNNNNNNNNNNNNNNNNNNNNNNNNNNNNNNNNNNNNNNNNNNNNNNNNNNNNNNNNNNNNNNNNNNNNNNNNNNNNNNNNNNNNNNNNNNNNNNNNNNNNNNNNNNNNNNNNNNNNNNNNNNNNNNNNNNNNNNNNNNNNNNNNNNNNNNNNNNNNNNNNNNNNNNNNNNNNNNNNNNNNNNNNNNNNNNNNNNNNNNNNNNNNNNNNNNNNNNNNNNNNNNNNNNNNNNNNNNNNNNNNNNNNNNNNNNNNNNNNNNNNNNNNNNNNNNNNNNNNNNNNNNNNNNNNNNNNNNNNNNNNNNNNNNNNNNNNNNNNNNNNNNNNNNNNNNNNNNNNNNNNNNNNNNNNNNNNNNNNNNNNNNNNNNNNNNNNNNNNNNNNNNNNNNNNNNNNNNNNNNNNNNNNNNNNNNNNNNNNNNNNNNNNNNNNNNNNNNNNNNNNNNNNNNNNNNNNNNNNNNNNNNNNNNNNNNNNNNNNNNNNNNNNNNNNNNNNNNNNNNNNNNNNNNNNNNNNNNNNNNNNNNNNNNNNNNNNNNNNNNNNNNNNNNNNNNNNNNNNNNNNNNNNNNNNNNNNNNNNNNNNNNNNNNNNNNNNNNNNNNNNNNNNNNNNNNNNNNNNNNNNNNNNNNNNNNNNNNNNNNNNNNNNNNNNNNNNNNNNNNNNNNNNNNNNNNNNNNNNNNNNNNNNNNNNNNNNNNNNNNNNNNNNNNNNNNNNNNNNNNNNNNNNNNNNNNNNNNNNNNNNNNNNNNNNNNNNNNNNNNNNNNNNNNNNNNNNNNNNNNNNNNNNNNNNNNNNNNNNNNNNNNNNNNNNNNNNNNNNNNNNNNNNNNNNNNNNNNNNNNNNNNNNNNNNNNNNNNNNNNNNNNNNNNNNNNNNNNNNNNNNNNNNNNNNNNNNNNNNNNNNNNNNNNNNNNNNNNNNNNNNNNNNNNNNNNNNNNNNNNNNNNNNNNNNNNNNNNNNNNNNNNNNNNNNNNNNNNNNNNNNNNNNNNNNNNNNNNNNNNNNNNNNNNNNNNNNNNNNNNNNNNNNNNNNNNNNNNNNNNNNNNNNNNNNNNNNNNAUUCUCGACACUUUGCUUACUCGGGACAAUCGAAUUUAUUGGGAACAACUCGAAACAUAGGAAUAAGGAACUUGAGCCAACCAUACUUGAAACUUACGGGAACAUCAUGUAAUUCAAUUCUAAGAGAGAAGUUUAGCCAACAUACCUCGCUUGAGCUUUCCUUAAAUUACUACAAUGUUCCCGAAAUCUUAGCAACUUCGAUCUAUUUAGAAACAUAACAAAAUUGACCACAAAUUAGGAAGAUAUUCAUGGUUGCAGCUCGUUUGAGCAUUUUAUCAAACACUAGAUGCGCAAAUUUGAUUACAAGAUUCUUCCACAAGAUAUCCUUCAAUCCACAACCCAAUCUUUACCCAUUUGAGCUCAACAAUCUUCCCACAAACCUUAUUGGUAAAUGACUGUAUAAAUAAUACUCUCAAACCCAAUAAUCAUACUCCCAAUCAACCAUCUUUUACCCAAAUUUGAAAUUGAAAACUAGGGUAUGGAACCUUACCUCUUAGAUGAAGACUUUGUGAGCUUUCUUGUUGAAUUUCAAGGCUUAAGCAUGAUUUUGAUGAACAGUUAGCUUAGGGAUUUCUCCUCUCACUCUAGGGCACUUCCUCUCUCUAAAAAUAUCAGAUAUUCCCUUCAAAAAUGGUCCCUUACAUCUAUUUAUUGAGAUAGGGUCGGGUUAUAAAGAUUGAAGAAUGGAUCCUUCGAAAUCCGGACCGGGCUACAGACCAGGCUUCGCGAGCUCCGUAGCGAGCUACAGACUAGGUUUCAUGAGCUAUGUAGUGAGUUACAGACCAGGCUUCGCGAGGGAUACAUCAUGGUCUAGCGCGCUAUAGACCAGGCUUCGCGAGGUAUAUAGCACGGUCUACCGCGCUACAGACCAGGCUUCGCGAGGGAUAUAGCACGAUCUAGCGUGCUAGGAGCUUGGGGAUGCGAGGUCAAAAUGAUUCAACUCCCCAACGCAAUGUUCAACCCAAAAAGUCCGAAAAUACAAUACAUUAGCCUACAUAGGCACCACAGAACCUUAAAUUACUUAUCGAAAAUUUACGGGGCCUUACAUGAACGGAGCACCCUUCUGGGUUAGCCUGGUUAUAGGUGCUGCAAUAGACGAGAAACCCUCUACAAAUUGACGGUAAUACCCCGCUAAGACAAGAAAGCUCCGGAUCUCCAUAGUUGAGGGUGGUUUGGGCCAACUCUGCACUACUUCAAUCUUCUUCGGAUCUUCCUUGAUCCCCUCACUUGAUACUACAUGACCCAAAAAUGCCACUGAAUCUAGCCAGAAUUCACACUUCAAAAAUUUUGCAUACAACUUCUUUUCUCUCAGAGUCUAAAGCACAGUCCUCAAGUGCUUCUCACGAUCCUCCCACCUCCGGGAGUACACCAGAAUGUCAUCAAUAAACACAAUGAUGAACGAGUCAAGAUAGGGCUGAAAUACACUGUUCAUCAAGUGCAUGAAUGUGGCUGGGGUGUUGCUCAGCCCAAAAGACAUCAUAAGGAACUUGAAAUGACCAUACCGAGACCUAAAAGCAGUCUUCGGGAUAACUGGCUCCCAAUUCUUCAACUGAUGAUAGCAUGAAUGCAAGUUGAUCUUAGAGAACACUCUGUCACCCUAAAGCUGAUUAAAUGGGUCAUUAAUACGUGGCAAUGGAUAAUUGUUCUUCACUAUAACCUUGUUCAACUGGCGAUAAUCAAUACACAUCCGCACAAAACCAUCCUAGGCGAGACAGUAGGCCGAAUAAAUCCCUUAUCAAGCAACUCUUCCAACUGUUCCAUUAAAUCUUUCAACUCUGCUAGGCCAUACGAUAAGGUGGAAUAGAAAUGAGUUGUGUGCCCAGUAACAAAUCAAUACCAAAGUCGAUAUCUCUGUCGGGCGGCAUGCCUGGAAGAUCUUCUAGAAAUAAGUUUGGAUAAUCCCUCACUAUAGGAACUGACUCAACGGUAGGAGUGUCAGCUCUAGCAUCCCUCACAUAUGCCAGAUAUGCAUCACACCCCUUCUCAACCAUCCACCCAGCCUUUAGAAAUGAGAGAACUCUGCUAGGAACAUGAUCUAGGGUACCUAUCCACUCUAGCCACGGUAGGCCUGGCAUAACCAACGUCAAUGUCUUUGAGUGACAAUCAAGGAUAGCGUGGUUGGGCGACAACCAGUCCAUGCCUAAAAUAACAUCGAAAUCCACCAUUCUGAGCAGUAAUAAAUCGGCUCUGGUCUCAAAACCACUAAGAACAAUCAAAACACAACUGAUACACACAGUCAACAAUAAUAGAAUCACCCACAGGUAUAGACACAUAGACAUGAGAACUCACUGAAUCACGAGAUAUACCCAAAUACAGAGCAAAAUAAGACGAAACAUAGGAAUAAGUGGAGCUUGGAUCAAAUAAGACCGAUGCAUCUCUUUGACAGACCGGAACAAUACCUAUGAUGACAGAAUCAGAUGCAAUUGCCUCCGUCCUAGCAGGAAGGGCAUAAUAUCUAACCUGACCUCCCCCCUAGGGCGACCUCUACAUGUCUGACCUCCACCUCAAGCUGGCUGUGCAGGUGGAGUGGUAGCUGGUGUUGUAACCAUAGCCUGGGAACGUGGUGGAGCACGCGAUGCCUGAGUGGUCAGUGGAGAUGCACCCCUUCUGAGUCUAGGGCAAUCCCUCACCACAUGAUGAGUGUCCCCACAUUCAAAAUAAGCUCUUGGAGGACGUGGUUGUUAUGGCUGGCUCGGGCCUGAUCGGCUGGACUGAAAGCACUACAUGCAUGAGGUGCAUUAGACAAUGGCAGUGCAUAAUAAGGAGCCUGGGGUCUAGGAAUGGACGAAGCACCGCUGGCGGCUGGGAGUGUUGAAUGAAUAGGGCGACCCAUGUAGACCCUACCCUGACGAGCUGCAUCUAGGGCACGAGUGCCACUAUAUGUGCCAGACUCUCCAGACCUCUUGGCCUCUCUCUUCUCCCUCUCCCGAGUCAACAUACCAUCCAAUCUCCUAGAAAUCCCCACUACCUACUAGUAUGCGAUGUGCAUCUCCAACUCUCAGGUCAUGCUAAAUCUGAUAUUGGGGCUGAGCCCCUCAAUAAAUCGACGAACCCUCUCUCGAACAGUAGCAACCAAGGCUGGUGCAUGCCUUGCCAAAUAACUAAAUCGGACCGCAUACUCUGACAUGGUCAUAGAACCCUGGCGCAACUACUCAAACUCUGCGCUCCAUGUAUCUCUAACACUAUGGGGGACAUACUCCCUCAAGAACAUAUCUAAGAACUGAGUCCAAGUGAGUGAAGUUGCCUCGGCCAGACUACCCCACUCAUAUGCUCUCCAUCACUGAUAGGUUGCUCCUCUAAGCUAGAAUAUAGUGAAAGAAACCCCACUAGACUCCGUGACACCCAUAGUAUGGAGGAUACGGUGGCACUCCUCAUGAAAACCCUAGGCAUCCUCUGACGCCAAGCCACUGAAAGUAGGAGGGUGGUACUUGUUGUACCUCUCGAGCCUGAGCUGCUCCCCCUCAGAAACAGCUGCCCUAACCUCGGGCUGAACUGGAGCUACCGGCUGUAUCGGUAUGACCUCAGGAACCUAGUCGACCUGGACCCACUGCUCUGGGGUACGAGCGGUGAGAGUCUAUGCUCUUCCCCCAGCCUGAAAUGUGGCAGGAGCAAGUGGUAUCAAUCCUGCCUAAGCCAAGGUGCUGAACAUGCUUAGAAACUAGGCAAGAGUCUCCUAGAGGGCUGGUGCAGUAACAGGCAUCUCAGGUGCCUGCCCUCCAACUGGCGCUACUGGUGGCUCCUCUAUAGCAGCUCAUGCGGGUCCUCUGGCUACACCAUGUGGACGUCCUCGGCCUCUAUCCCGGCCCUGGCCUAUCGCGACUCUAAUAGGGGGCGUGGGUGUCUGGUCCUCUAAUCCAGUUGUACGUGUCCUCACCAUAUAUGAGAUAAUAGAAAGAUAGAAAUUUAGAAUCCGAAGUCAAAAUCUCGUAUGAUAAGGAAUCAAAGAAGUGAAGCUUUUCCUAAUAGUUCCAUAGCCUCCCUAAGAUAAGUACAGACGUCUCCGUACCGAUCCGUGAGACCCUACUAAACCUACUUGUGACUCAUAACACCUAUGAACCUAAGCUCUGAUACCAAUUUGUAACGACCUUUAUUUCCCUCUAUGGGAUAUCGUGACGACACCUAGUCUCUAAGACUAGGUAAGCCAAAACAAUACGCAGAAACAUUAAAUAAGAUAUUAAAACUUGAACAUCGCAACAAUUUCAUAAAAGAAUAUACCAAAACUCAAUACAUAAAAUCCCAAAACCUGGUGAGACAUAAGUCACAAGCUUUGAGUACAGUGUCGAAUAAUCAUAUAUCUCACCGUCUACAAAAAUAUAAAGAAAUAAGAGAAGAACAUAAUAGAAGGAGACUCCGAGGCCUGCGGUCGAGGGCAAGUGUACCUUGAAGUUUCCAAGUAGCAACACAACACACUAAUAUCGGGGCUGGUAAGAUGCACCUGGAUCUACACAAAAUGAUGUGUAGAAGUGUAGAAUUAGUACACCACAACGGUACCCAGUAAGUGUUAAGCCUAACCUCAGUAGAGUAGUGACGAGGUCAGGUCAGGGCCCUACUGAAAAUAAUAGGAAACAAUUCCGAAGAUAUAAUGAUAUAAUGAAAUGACUAGGAAGUGAACAAUGAGAAAUUAUAGAAAUAUAACAACACAGCAAAUAGAGGUAAACAGCAGGGGCGGUCCCAAGGUACUGCCUCGUAGUCCCAAAAGUAAAUACGUAAAAGGGGGCGCUCCUGAGGUACCGCCUCGUAGUCCCAAAAGUAAAUAUGCAACAGGGGCGCUCCCGAGGUACCGCCUCGUAGUCCCAAAAGUAAAUAUGCAAUAGGGGCGCUCCCGAGGUACUGCCUCGUAGUCCCAAAAGUAAAUACACAAUAAGGGAUGCUCCCGAGGUACUGCCUCGUAGUCGCAAAAGUAAAUAUGUACAUAUAGCCGAUGGGACAAUAAAAUUACAGCAAGGAAUCCUACAGUUAAAGACUAAAUACAAAAUCAAGAAAGCAGGUAAUCCAACUAAGCAUGUUGCACAAAUUGUAAGUAAGAGAUAAGACAUGUAAACAUACGACAUUAGGCUAAACAUGAUGGCUACACAUGCUAGAGUAACUCAGUUAAGGAAUUAAAAAGGAAACUACUUAGCAAGAACUGGAUUUUUAACAUUUAACCCGAGUACGCACUCGUCACCUCGCUUACAUGACCUUCACGUAUUGCAAAUACCAUAACAGUACCAAAACCUAAGGGGAGAUUCCCCCACACAAGGUUAGACAAGUCACUUACCUCAAUCUCGCUCAAUCAAUCAAUAAGAAUGUCUUUCCCUCGACUUUCCAACUCCGAUCGGCUCGAAUCUAGCCAGCACAAUUACAUACUAUGAAUAUAAUUAUAAGAAACUAAUUUAAAUAAUAAAUCUACGAGUUUAUUAAAGAAUUGAAAAAUCGUCCCAAAACGUAGACCCAGACCCACGUCUCAGAACCCGACCAACAUUAUAAACUCCAAACACCAAUUCGAUAUCGAUAUCAACCAUACAAGAAUUGCUCAAAUCCGACCUCAAAUCGCCUUUCAAAUCCCCAAAUUUUAGUCUAAGAUGUUUUCCCAAUUUUUCUUAAACUUUCCAACUAAGAACACUAAUUAAAUGAUGAAAACAACAAUAGAUUCGUGUAAUAUAGACAAAACCGAGUGAGAAUAUCUUACCCCAAUGGUUUCCUUGCAAAUCGCUUGAAACAUCGCCACAAACCGAGCUCUCUAGGUCCAAAAAUCAAAGUGAGAUCAAACCAUCGAAAACCCCCUUUUCUGCCUAGUUAAACCGCUUCUGGGAUUCAUUUAGCCGCUUUUGCGGUCAGCCAACUGCAUCUGUUGAAAGUCACUGACACUGACCAACCACUUCUGCAGUCGCAAAUCCUGCUUCUGCAGGUGCACAUCUGCGCAACCUCGUCCGCUUUUGCGGACCGGCCUCCCCAAGCUCUCUUCCGCUUCUGCGAUCAUCCUUCCGCAGAAGCGGCACUACUUCUGCGACCUCCUCAUCUCAUCUGCGACUACUGGACACCCUCUUCAACCCCGCUUCUGUGCUCACCCGCUCGCUUCUGCGAGCACGCACCUACGAGCAAAAUUUCGCAGGUGCGAAUGCACUAGAAGGCAGAAUCCCAGCAAAUGCUUCUAAUCCAAAUUUGAUCCGUUAACCAUCUGGAAUACACCUGAGGCCCCCGUGACCUCAACCAAAUAUACCAACUAGUCUUAAAACAUCAUACGAACUUAUUUGAGCUCUCAAAUCACACCAAACAAUGCUCAAACCAUGAAUUGCACAUUGAUUCAAGGCUAAUGAACUUUAGAACUUCUAACUUCUACAUUCGAUGCUGAAACCUAUCAAAUCGAGUCCGAUUGACCUCAAAUUUUACACACAAGUCAUAAUUGACAUUACAGACCUACUCCAACUUCCGGAAUCAGAAUCCGACCCUGAUAGCAAAAAGACCACUCCCAGUCAAACUUUCCAAAACUCAUCCAAUUUUUCAACUUUCGCCAAUUAACGCCGAAAUGACCUACGGACCUCCAAAUCAACAUCCGAACACGCUCCUAAGAUCAAAAUCACUAUACGGAGCUAUUGAAACUGUCAAAACUCUAUUCCGAUGUCGUCUUUAUACAAUUCAAACUACGGUCAAUUCCUACGACUUAAACUUUCAUUUUAGGGACUUCGUGUCCUAUUUCACUCCGAAACCAAAAACCGACCCUCCCCGGCAAGUCACGUAACCAUAGAAUGAAAUAGAGGAUGCAAUAAAUAGGGGUUCAAGUCUAAUACUCUCAAAACGACUGGCCGGGUCGUUACAUUUUAUUUUAGCUUAGUUUAAUAUUUUAUUAUCUUUGUUGACAUGGCAUCUUAGAAUGAGAAUUGGUUGAAUAUUGGUUAUUCUUAUUUUGGUAUUCCUUGUCUAUAUUGUAGAGGACCACACUUGUGGCAAAAUUGUGAGAAUAUUUUUUGGAGCGAGUUGGGUGUACCAUCUCAAUCUUAUGAGUUGAAUAUUUGUAAUGUGUGUGGUGGUCAAGGUGGCUAUUGCGAUGGUUGUCCUAAUUCUUAUUAUCGUUCUCUGAGCUUUUAUUAUGAUUUUUCUAAUAAUAUUUGUGAGUUUGAUAGGAGCUUUGAUGCGGAGGAUGUGGAACGCGUUGCUCAAAUUAUGGACAUGGUGAGGCAAGUAGCCGAGCAACAAGAUGAAAUUCAAAAAAUGACUGCCUUAGAAAUCAAAGUACUGCAGGCUAGAAUGGAAGAAUUAAUGGCCAAUUUUCAAGAACAACCUCAACUCGACGAAGAGAGAGAACUCUCACAAGAGGUAAAAGUUGAAGAAGCAGAUAUAGUGAGCCAAUCUUGGCUAGAGGAACACGCUCAGCUAAUAAAAUUUCACGGGGUUCUACGUAAUGGUCUUUCAAAUAUGACAGAACAGCUGAUAGAAGGAAGAACUGAGGUUAGGCAAGAGAUAGACCAAUAUCGCUCAACUAUCCAUGACCUGCAGGCUCAAUUGAAUAAAAAGAUUGAGGCGUCUGAUGCCCAACAACAAAUUAUUGUGGAUACUGCCCAGCUGGUGGAGCAAAAAGAAGAGUUCCAACUAUUCGACCAAAAUAUUAUUUAUGAUGCCAAGGUUAAGGAAGUGUGCAAAAGUGUGGAUGUUAAAAGUGAAGCAUUUUUAGUGUUGGAGCGUAUUGGACCUCAUUCUAAAUACUUUUCAACAAUGUGUAUGGAUAGUGAUAUUAGAAUUGAUCCAUUAGAGCCUGUGGAGGAGUCAAUGGAUGAGGAACAAAGUACAUAUAUUCUGGAAUUUGUGAUGCCAAGGAGACAAAACAAGCAUACCUCACUUAAGGUCCAAGAAGUGCAAGAUGCGAUAUAUAUUGCUUGGGUCUUUUAUUUUUACGCCACCGUCCCAGGAACGUGACAGAAAAAGUAAUGCAAAAUUGGGGGCGCAAAUCAUAUCCUCAAAGUGGAAGGAAAAGUGGUGAAAGUGAUGGCAUCAUGUUGCGACGUUAAAUCAAGCGCUUGUUGGGAUGCAACACAACUCUACUAUUUCUCUUAUUUUUGUUGAUUUUUUUAUUUUGUUAUUCUUUUGUAGUGUUAUUUUUGUAUUUUAUAGGAGUAGGAACAUGGAGUCAAAGCCAAUAAACGUGUGCAAAAGUGAGCAAGCGGUUGAAACUAAGUGUGAGGUACUCGCACAAAGGAUCAUACCUGGGAGAAGUCUGAAUAUCUCAUGAGCUACUAAUGCUUCGUCCUUUGGCCUACCAGAGAGUCUCUUUUACCUUCUUGUUAUUUAUAGUGUACAUUGAGGAUAUUGCACAAUUUUAAGUGUGGGGUGAGGAGAUUGUCUGGGUGAUUUUCUAUGUCAUCCUAGCUUAAUUGUAGUAUUCUUUCUUAGUAUAGUGACUUUUUUAUUUUAAAAAACAAAAAUGAAAAAACACAAUUCAUAAAAUUUAGUACUUUUCCCGACGAUGGAUCUUAUGGAUAACUUUCUUGAGGGAUUAAAGUCAAACAAAAAAAAUUACAAAAAAAAUUGAAAAACAAAAAAUUCAAAAACAUGUAUUUUAUUUUCCUUUAGGUGGUAAAUAUCUCCCGUGAUUUUUCUUUGUGCCUCGGUUCUUUUUCAUGGGAUGUAGUUUGAACCGGGUAGUAGUUCUUUUUCUUAGAGUAGAUUAGGAAUUUAGCAAAUAAAAGGAGGAAGAUUGAUGAACCUAGGUGCCCUUGACUUGUUUGAUAGUAGCAUAUUUAAGUUUUGGCAUGUGGAGUAUCUUUCCUAUGUUUUAAAAUUGGUCAUGAUUUCUUGAUGAAAUUGGAUAGCAUGUCUUGUGACGCCUACGUCUCUUUUACUUGACUAUUGUUCACUUUGUGCUUAAUGCUUAAUAUCUUGUGGCUUUGUGAAUACUUGCAUUAGUUUGAGAGUCGAAAUGGAACCGUCCAUGGUGUGUCAUGUUCCAUGUGUGAGUGAGUUUUUGUGUAGUCCAUGUUAUUGUGAUUGAGUGUAGAACUUACCCAGUAUGUGAGUUGAAGCGGAAUUUUAGGUGAUGCUCGGUUUGAAAAAUGAUUCUAGGCAUUGUUGCACCCUAUUUUGCACAAGUCAAAAUAAUGUAUAACUUAUAGUACUCUACAAUGUAAAUUAAAGUUUAGAGUCGCCACCUAGUAUUUAAGGUAUACUAGGACACCUAUACUACACUAUGUAAUGUACAUUUAAUUAUGGUCUGCAAAACCGUUGAAAUUUUAGGUAAGGGUUCAAUUUAUCUCGAGGGAAAGGUGUUAGGCAUCCCGCAAGAUCAACAAAAUGUGGUUCAGGUGGACUCAAUCAAAUAAAUGAGGGAAGGUUCAAAAGAAUGAUUAAUUUAAUAUUUACAAAGAAUCAUGAAAAUAAUUUGGAAUGAAGAAUGAUUGAAUGUGAAUGUCACAUGAUAAAACUAGGGAUAUUUAUGUGCAACAGAAUAUGUGCAAGGAUGUGGAUAAAAAAAGUAUGUGAAAGAGUUGAAUUUUUAAUGACUAAGUGAAGUGUAUCAUCAAGUAAAGUAUUUACAAAUUAACCAAAAUGACUUUAAGUUGAAAGGAAUAAUCUCAAAAGAAUUUAGUUAUAAUCAAGAUGAACUAUUAUAAGAAAACGUGUCUAGAAAAUGAUUGAUGAAGAGUAGAAAAAGGAAUUAUCUUUGGAUAGUUUUUACGUCAUGAAUAGGGUAAGAAGAGAGUUGAUUAAUAUUUAAAAGAAGAUUAUGAAAAUAAAUUAACUAAAGGACAAUUAAUUAUGGCAAAUGAAUAAUGAAAUAUGUUUAUAUUUAUGUACAUAUGUGGUAAAAAGUAAAUAACAAAAAUGUAUGAAUUGACUUUCAUUUUUGAAAUUGGUGCACAAGAUGUGAAGAAUACAAUUUAAUAUUUUAAAGAAUGGAUUAAGUAAGAAGGGAACAAUAUAUGAUUUGACUAAAAUAUAAAAUUAUUAAAAGAUAAUUAAUAAUUCAAGACAAGGUUAAAGAAACUACGAAUACUAUAUCUUGCACUUUAAUUUAAUGUAUGGAUUGUGAAAGAAAUUUGUUUAAUAUGAAUGAACAAGUAUAAGAAGUUGCUAAAGAAAGAAAAAUGUAAGAUAGCAUGUAGUGGUGAAUGAAAUAUUUGCAGAUUUGACCAAAUGAAUAUCAAUUGGAGAAUACACUUUAAAAGAAUUUAAUUUAUGUACAAAGAUUAACCCUUUAAGUGAAAAGCUAAAUGUAAAAAAAUAAAAUUUUACUCUAAAUGAUUAGCAAAAGGUAAAAAAAUAAUAAACUUUGAAUAACCUUAGUAUACAACGAAUAAGGUGAAAAAAUGAAUUUGAUGAAUAGAGAAUGAAUAUGGUGUAAGAAAAAUACAUCAACACGUUUGACAUAGAAAAUCAUCGCAUCAAUACAAAAAAUUAUUUGCGCCGAAAAUGAGUUAUCAUUUCAGUGAAUGACUAAAGGCCACCUUUAGAGUCAUGGUCUUGAAACACAACUUAUGUGAGCCAAACCCAAAUGACUACGAGGCCUAAUUCUCUCAAUUGAGGUACAAUAAUUCAAUUACAAAUUCUAUACAAUUAUAUCUAUUCGAAGUAUAGUAACUAAAGAAUAAUUUACAUAUAGAGAGGUUCGGGAAGCAUGCUAGUAUAACUUUAAGAACAUACAAUAAAAUGAUUUAUUUUUAUCUUUAUGAAAAGGGGAUGUCAUGUUUUUAUUUCGGAUAUACAGCCAACCUAAUUGAUUAUGUGAAUGUAAAUCCUAAUUAAUCAACCAAGUUAAAGAUAUGUUUGACACCCUAUGUGUCACGGCUCCAAAUUCUCUCCGUAGGUUAUCGUGACGGCACCUAGUCUCUAAGAUUAGGUAAGCCUAACAAUAUGCGGAAACAUUAAAUAAGAGAUUAAAACUUGAACAUCCCAAUAUUUUCAUAAAUAGAAUCUACCAAAACUCAGUAUGUACAAUCCCAAGACCUGGUGAGAUAUAAGUCACAAGCUCUAGCACUACUAGAAAAUAGGCCUAUGGCAACGCCACGAGUUCUGUUGCCAUAGGAAGGGAAACCGUUGCAAUAAACCUAGUGCCACGGUUUAGGGUUCGUUGAGAGAUCAUGCGUCGCAUAGGUCUAUGUUUAAGCAACGGUUUCUUGAUCGUUCCCAUAGGCACAUCUACCGCGACGGUUUUACUAUGAUCAAUUACAACGAUUAGUAGCGAGCUAUGGCAACGGUUUUUGAACCGCCGCUAUAUGUAUAUUACGACGGUUGAGAACCGUUGCUAUAUACAUUACAAUAUUUUUACACUGUUUUUGUUUUGUUUAUUGAAACGGUUAUUAAAGCUUAUGCAACAGUUAUAAUGAGCUACUGCAACGGUUAUAAGGAGCUACUGCAACGGUUGUUUGGUGCUAUUAACAGUUGUUAUGAGCUAUCGCAACAGGAUAAAUAUAUAAUACAUACACUGAAAUUAAUAUAUAAAUGAUGAAAUGAAAAUAUAUUCAUCAACAAAAUCAUAAUUCAAAAUACACAACCAAGAUAAAAGAAAAAUAUACGAUAAAAGUGUUUAAUAAUCCAAAAGUUGGCAUAUAUAAGUUUGCAAAAUAAUUCAAAAAUAAAAAUAUUCUUAGAUUGUCUGAAGAUUCUACAACCAAUAUCUUUAGGUAAGGUCUUCAUUGCUUUCAUGUUCCUCUUGAUCAUUUGGUUCUCCUGUAAAUUCAACAAGUUGCUAAAUUUGGUAGCUAUGGAUUAUGGGAUGCGUUUUUCAUAUUUUUCAAUACUUUGGUGGGCUUUUAUUGAACUUUCAGGAAUAGCACAACUUGUUAGAGAGUUCUCUGCAGUGUUUACUAACAACAAAUAAUAUGAAACAUUGUGACGUCGACCCAAACUCUAUUCUGCUAAAUUAUACUACAAUCUCCCCAACUAUCAGAAAAUAUUCAAAAAGCAGAAUGGAGAAAAGUUGUAUCUAAAUGUAAUCUUUUUUGUGAGGCAUAUAUUUUGAUGCCAAAUUAUCAAUUGUCAAAUACAUUUCUUGAUUUCAGCAGCAUAAAUAACUCAACUCUAUGUCGCAGAUUCACAACAUAAGAAGUUCUUCAGAUACAUACUCUUCUUCAUACUUGCCUCACUUAUUUUGGGUGAAAUACACAUAAAUUUUGGGAAAACAUAUGCAGAAACAUUGAGACCCCAUUUCAAAAACCAAUUAUUGCGCUUUGUCUCAUUGUAACAAAGGUAGAGGCUUUUGAUUGUAAACCACGGGUAAUAAUAAAAGCGAACAAAAAAUCACUAAUAUCAGCACCAGAUCCAAUUGCACACUAAAGAUGACAAAUAUAGAAAAGCUACCCUAAUAAUUUAUUUCCAAUUUGUCUUUUACUUGCAAAAUAAAUAAAUUAAUAAAUAAGUAUAUAAAAGGAAUGUUACCUAGUGUAAAUUUAAACUAGGUAAAAGCUCUAUGUCGAUGAAUGAGAGCAAAUAAGUAAGAAGAAAAAUUAGUUUUGAAGAAAGAGAGAGAUAGAGAGAGAAGAACCUCUUAAUCUCUUGGUUUCCCGUGAGCCUUUUCAGGUGGUAAGCGAUCUUUAGUGUCGACGGCAGCGUGCUAUCUCGUCUAGGGCUUGUAUCAAACUUUAGGCUUUUUGUUCUUUGUAUAUGUGUUAGGACUUUUAGUUUUUCUUUUGUUUUUCCUUCAGGCGCUUAGUCUCCCUUCUGUAAAAAAAAAAAAAAGGCGCGAUAAAGUUAUAAGAGGGAAAAUGGGAAGGGAAAGCACAACCGACCCAGUAGUCCUUUUUUUUUUUUCAGAAACCGUCGCCAAACAUGCAUCUAUUGCAAUAGUUCAGGGAACCGUCACUAUACAUCAAUCUACAGCGAUGGUUUAAUCCCUAAUGCAACAAUUUAUUUUGCUACCUAUCUCAGUAGGUCUGAGAGGAAUAUGCGACGGUUGCAACCGUAGCCAUAGAUAUUUUAUUGCAACGUUUACAUAACCGUUGCUAAAUAACUGUUGCGAUAGGUCUAUUUUCUAGUAGUGUAGAUAUAGUACCGAACAAUCCUAUAAAUCAUUGUCUAUCAAAAUGUAAAAAAAAUAAGAAAAGAAUGGGAUAGAAGGGGACUUCGAGGCCUGCGGGCAGGUUUACCUUGAAGUCUCCAAAGCAACAAUACAGGGCACUAAUAUUGAGGCUGAUAGGAUGUACCUGGAUCUGCACAAAACAUGCGCAAAAGCAUAGUAUGAAUACACCACAACGGUACCCAGUAAGUGCCAAGCUUAACCUCAGUAGAGUAGUGAUGAGGUCGGGUCAAGUCCCUACUGGGAUAAUAAGAAACAAGAUAGAGAUAAUCUAAUAUAAUGAAAAUGACAGGGAAGUGAACAACAAAGAAAUUACGGGAAAUAACAACACGGAAUCAAUGAAAGCUAAUACAACACGAAAGAAAAAUAAGAAUUUUACAUGUUAAGGAAAACAAUAACCAAAUAAUACAGCAAUUAAAGAAUAUCAGCAGGGGCACUCCCCAGGUACCGCCUCAUAGUCCCAAAUCGUAAAAACAAAUCAUAAUAUUUCCUUAUAUCACUGCGGGACCCUUUAUAUUUGGGUUUUGAAAACUAUUUUUCCGAAAUAACAUCCCGUGUUUUAGCCCACCUUAUCAUACCGUAUGGUCUCUAGUAGUUCCCCUACUAGCCAUGCGUAUCAAGCUCACCUUAUCACACCGUAUGUGUUUCAACACCCAGACCUUAUACCACCGCAUGCGUAUCAAUAAUCACAACGGCAUGGAAAAAACCUCGUGCAAUAAUAACAACCACACGGCAGAAACCUUAUGCAACAAUAACAGCAGCACGACAGAAACCUCAUGCAAACAACCAAACAAUCACCUCAACAAUAACACAAAAGCCAAAACAGAACAACUGAAUAAAUAGUAUUCCAAGGAUGGCAAUUUCAAGUAAAGAAUUUCCAUAGUUAAGUAAUGAAUACGGAAAUCAAGAAAAGCAAGUAAUUCAACUAAACAUCUUACACAAGUAGCAAGUAGGAGAUGCGACAAGUAGACAUGUGAAAUUAGGCUAAACAUGAUGACUAUAACGUGCUAAAAUAGCUCAAUUAAGGCAUGAAAAGGAAACUAUGUAGCAAAAAUCGUAAUUUCAACAUUUAGCCCGUGUACGCACUCGCCACCUUACGUACACAACCUUCACAUAUCACAAGUGAUCACCAAAAUACCAAAUCCUAAGGGGAAUUUCCCCCACGCAAGGUUAGAAAAGUCAUUUACCUCAAACCAAGCUCAAUCAAUCAAUUAGAAGGUCUUUUUCUCGAUUUUCCAACUCCGGACGACUCGAAUCUAGCCGAAAUAAUUUCAUACUAUAAAUAUAACUAUAGGAAACUAAUUUAAAUAAUGAAAUAAUGAACUUAGCUAAGAAUUGAAAAAUCGCUCCAAAAAGUCGACUCGGGCCCACGUCUUAGAACCCGACCAAAAACAUAAAAUCCGAAUACUCAUUCGAUAUUGAGUCCAACCAUACAAGAAUUAUCCAAAUCCGACUUCAUGUAGCCUUUCAAAACCCAAAAACUUGGUCUAAGAACUUUUACACUUUUCCCCCAAUUUUAAACUACAAAACCAUAAUUAAAAGGUGUAAUUAACAGUAGAUUCAUGGGAAUUAAUAAAAAACGAGUCAAGAAUUCUUACCCAAAUGCUUCCUCUGAAAAUCUCUUAAAAUCUCGCCUCAAUCCGAGCUCUCAAAGUCCCAGAAUGAAAAUGAAAUCAAACCCUCAAUUUUUCCCUUUUUGCCCAGUCUUUCCGCACCUGCGACAACUUAGCCGCAUAUGCGGUGUCGCAGAAGCGACAAUCCUUCCGCUUCUGUGGUGAAUCACUGGAACCAAGCCCUUGCGCCUGCGGAAAAUGCUCCGCUUCUGCGCAAACGCAGAUGCGACCAUCUUUCCGCUCCUACGAUGAACCCUCGCUUCUGCGCUCUACCUCUCCGCAUCUGCGACCAUAUAGGUGCGGACAAUCCUUCACGCCUGCGACCACAUCCUUUCUCACUCCUGACCGCAUCUGCACUUCCCAGCUUGCACUUGCGAUGAAAGCUCCGCAAGUGCGAUUGCACCAGAAGACUCCAGCAACAGCACCCCUUUUAACUCUAAACUUGAACCGAUAAUCAUCUGAGCUUCACCCGAGGCCCCCGAGACCUCAAACAAAUAUACCAACAAGUCCUAAAACACGAUACGAACUUAGUCGAGCCUUCAAAUCACCUCAAACAAUAUUAAAAAUAAAAAUCGCACCACAAUUCAAGCCUAAUGAACUUAUAAACUUUUAACUUCUACAUUCGAUGCCGAAACCUAUCAAAUCACGUCCGAUUGACCUCAAUUUUUGCAUACAAGUCAUAAAUGACAUUACGGACUUACUCUAACUUGCGGAAUUUGAAUCCAACCCCGAUAUCCAAAAGUUCACUCCCGGUCAAACUUUCUAAAAUCUUCCAACUUUCCAACUUUCGCCAAUUUAUGCCGAAACAAUCUACGGACCUUCAAACCGACAUCCGGACAUGCUCCUAAGACCAAAAUCACCAUACAGAGCUAUUGGAACUAACAAAACUCCAUUCCGGAAUCGUCUUUACUCAAGUCAAACUAUGGUCAACUCCUACGACUUAAACUUCCAAUUUAGGGACUAUAUAUGUGUCCCAUUUCGCUCUGAAAACCAAAAAUCAAAGCUCCCGGCAAGUCAUAUAACUAUAGUAUAACACAAAGAAAGCAAUAAAUAGGGGGUCAGGGUUAAUACUCUCAAAACGAUCGGCCGGGUCGUUACACUAAGUGUACAUACAAAUUAUGUGAAUUAUCCAAUGUACAACAUUACAAGUUACCCGAAUUAUUAACUAAAUGCAAUUCACCCUAAAUGUUUGGCAGGUAGAUAAAUAUCAAAGCAAGCAAGCAAAUACGACAUCUAUCUACUAUUUUACUAUAUUUUACGUUUUGAGUAUAUCCGAGAAUGAGAAGUACGAAGCGGGGAUUCUAUGAGGGUUCAUCUUCAAUCCUUCUCCAAAUAUCAUCUUUAGAAAGCGAUUUCAUAUGAUAGUACCCCGCAGGGCAAAACAAGUGAAAUUAUUUGUAAAAUAUAAAGUAAACAAUAAACUAAUUUAUUCUGAAAUGAUUUUAUUUGAAAAUAUUUUUGGGAAAUUAUUUUUGGAAAUAUUUUUGGGAAAUUAUUUUUGGAAAUAGUUUGAAAAUAUUUUUGGAAAAUUAUUUUUGGAAAAUAGUUUUGGAAAAUAGUUUAAAAAAAUAUAGGAGGCUCAGAUAUAUAUGUUUAAUAUCCCUCUAGACCUGAGAACGGGAACCGCCUUGGUUGCGACUCCGGUGGCCAACCGUGUCGCCCUUCAAAGGUUGUUGGUUCGCGUUCACGUCUUUUUAUUUUUUGAUAUUUAUCAUCAUUGCCUCGUUAUUUAGGGCCUAGUUCGGAGGGUCAUUCGGGGCGACGUGGCCUCAAAACAUUAUUCUCUUCGGCCUUAUAAUGUAGUAUUCAUUCAAAUCAAUGAAGUCACAACAGCAAUACCAAUAGCAGAGCAAGGAAACAAGCAGCGGCAACUAACAAAAGACGGAUUCAAUCACAACAUGGUUAUUACAGCAAGCAAGUAGAAAUGCCACCAAACCAACAGAAAAUAUAGCGACAGCACAGAUCAUAAACAAAUGUUGCCCCCUCGAAAUUAAAUGCGGUCGAACGGAACAGAGAGAGACUACUGGAAAAUUCACAAAAUAAACAGCAGCGACAAUGGAUCAAACGACCAAACGGAACAGUGGCACCAAUGGAAGGCAACGAGAUUAAACAACAACCGAAGCAAAUGAAACGGUAGUUCCAUAAAUUAAGCAGUCACUGGAAAAUAUGGUCAAAGGGUAGUGACCAAAUAGCGGUUCACUGAAAUAAAGUUUUUCGGUCCGUCGAGGUUUUACCAGCGGCACCUUUACACGUAAAUGACCGGCAAAAAUAACAAAAUACAACAAGAACACAACAAGAAUCGCCGGAGCAUUUCCGGUUAAAUUCUUUCAAGCCAAAAAAAUGCAAUUUUUGACUAGAUCUUUCUGGAUCUUGUUUCGUGCAUAGUUAGAUCUGUAAAUAAGAAUGAAGAAGAUGAGAAGAGACAUGGUCGCCGGUGGCAUCUAGGCGGCGGAAGCGAUAAAAUAGAAAGAGACGAUGGGAGAGAGAGCCAUCAUCUCAUUGCCGUGGAAUGGAGAGAAGUAACCGCCUGGCCGGUCACCACCUCCGGCAGCAGCGACUAGUGGUCAUGGGCGGCAGAAAUAGAGCAAAAGGGGGGUUGUUCUUGUUUUCGCCAAAUAAGAGAGAAAAAUGAGAUGAUAUUAAGUGGGUGUCGGCUAUGGAUUGUAGAAUGAGGGGUGUGUUAUGUUUUUAGGGUUUUGACCAUUUUUAUUAAGAGACCCCUUCUAAAAAUAUGAUAGUGUGUGCAUGUAUUUUUAAUACCAAAUUAUAACGACCCAACCGGUCAUUUUGAGAGUAUUAGCCUUGAUCCCCUAUUUAUUUCUCCCUUUUUUUCAUUCUAUGGUUACGUGACUUGCCCG